This 75966-nucleotide long non-coding RNA is filed under the name Citrus maxima (pomelo). Its description in RNAcentral is "long non-coding RNA (CMAX_LNC000490)". Lineage: Eukaryota; Viridiplantae; Streptophyta; Magnoliopsida; Sapindales; Rutaceae. The record is from RNAcentral.
CCUCAUCAGAUAUUUCGUUAAAAUUCAUUCUGAAACACUAAAACUAAAUAAUUGAAUAUGGCUUUGCGGGUCGAUGAUGCCAGCAGCAAUGAGACUGCAAUUAUCACUUGUUUAGUUUCUGUGCUUGCCGUGGUUUACUUCGCAUGGAAUGUGAAAAAAUCAAGGAAAGCAAAUGCUAAACUUCCACCAGGACCUCGCGGCUUGCCUGUAGUCGGAUACCUCCCAUUUCUCGGAACUACUGACUUGCACAAGAAAUUCACGGAAUUAUCCGGAGUUUAUGGUCCGAUCUUCAAGCUCUGGCUCGGAAACAAAUUAUGUGUCGUGGCGAGCUCACCUUCCCUAGUUAAACAAGUGGUUCGAGAUCAAGAUACAACAUUCGCCAACCGUGACCCGCCGAUCGCUGUACUAGCGUUCACCUAUGGUGGCAAUGAUAUUGCAUGGUCCAAUUACGGUCCCGAAUGGAGAAAUUUGCGCAAAGCUUUUGUGGGCAAGAUGAUGAGUAACGCAAGCCUUGAUGCUUGUUAUGCUCUAAGAAAACAAGAGGUUAAAAAUACUAUCAGGGAUUUGUACAACAACGACAACAAAAUUGGUAAGCCCAUCGACAUUGGUGAAUUGUCAAUUUCAACCUUGGUAUGUGUUAUUCAGAACAUGCUGUGGGGUGAAGCGCUUGAAACAAGAGAGGAAGGGAUCACUAAUCUUGGGGCUGAGCUAAAAUUUAAGCUGGCAGAACUCAUGGUCCUAAUGGGAACACCGAAUAUUUCGGACGUCUUUCCAGUGCUUUCAUGGUUUGAUAUACAAGGUAUAGAGAGGAAAGCAAAGAAGAUUUCACUCUGGUUUGAAAAUAUUAUAAAUUCUACUGUUGAAAAGUAUAGAAGCAAGGACUUUAUUGUUGAAGGUAAAGAAAGAGCAGGGGAAAAUUUUGAAGGAUCAAGGAACAAGAACUUCUUGCAGUUACUAUUGGAGCUUCAAGAAAAUGAAGACGGUUCUUCCUCAAUUAGCAUGAACCAAUUUAAGGGCGUGCUCGCGGUAUGUUAAGCAACUAGCCACGAACAGUUAUACAAGCACAGUUGUAUAUUUGCAUGAGUGACGCUUCUCAACUUUUUUUAAUUUUUUAAAUUAAAGUUUUAUUGUAAUCUUUUGAACAGGAUAUAAUUACGGGUGGAACCGACACCACAACUACGAUGGUGGAAUGGACAAUGGCAGAGUUGAUGCAGCAUCCACAAGUAAUGAAGAAAGUUCAGGAAGAAUUAGCUCAAGUUGUGGGCAUGGACAGUUGUGUUGAAGAAUUUCAUUUGCCUAAACUGAAAUAUUUAGAUGCUGUGGUGAAAGAAUCGUUUCGUCUGCAUCCUGCAGUGCCUUUAUUAGUACCACGCAGAGCAAGCGAGAGUGGCAGCAUUGGUGGCUAUACCAUUCCCAAAGAUACAACUCUUAUGUUGAAUGUUUGGGCUAUCCACAGGGACCCUCAACUUUGGGAUAAUCCCUUAGAAUUUCGACCCGAGAGGUUUCUGAAUGUUGGUGUCGAGAGUAAGUUCGAUUACUCAGGUAACAAUUUUCAGUACUUACCUUUUGGUUCUGGUAGAAGAAUGUGUGCUGGGAUUCCUCUAGCUGAGAGGAUGCUGAUGUUUGUUUUGGCUUCGUUAUUGCACUCAUUUGAGUGGGAAUUGCCAGCUGGCACAAAGCUAAAUUUAUCUGAAAAAUUUGGGUUUGUCAUUAAGAAAAAAGAGCCUUUGGUUGCUAUUCCAACACCAAGACUAUCCAAUUCAGAGCUUUACCAUUAAAACAGAAUGAUUGUGAUGAUUUUGUUAGUAUCGGAAGAUUUGUAUGUUAUUUCAAGUUCAAUCGUAAUAAAAUAUUUUAAUAAAAGUCCUCCGUUGCUAAUUUUUUUUUUCAACGGCAUAAUCUGUCAUCAUGCUUGUGUUUGGAGCUACUUUGGAAUGAUUAUUUUUGAAUUACAAUUUAUAAAUAUUUAGGUUUUAAAUUUUUUAUAAGAGUCUAAAUUUAUACACGUUCAGUAAAAGAUUCCCUAAAAGCUUUACAAUUCAAAAUUCUAUUAAAAGUAUAGAUGAAACUUUUAUACCUACUAAUUUUUUGGUCUAUUCUACAAGUUUAAAGAGGAGAUAUUUCUAGAGCUAGCAAAAAGAGCUACCUGAUUGUUUUCGCGUUAUGUCAAUUUUUUUAUUGUGUUAAAUUUAAUUUGACCCACAUAUGACCCAUUUAAUAAUCGUGUCAAAAUAUUGAAACUUGAACUUGAUACGGAAAAUAAAUGGAUGACCACACACACCCAUUUAAGAAUUAGGUAACUAUGUCACUUAAUACGACAUAACCCAAUAACUCGUUUAAUACAUAUUUAACAUAAUUUACAUUGUACAUUGUACACCCUUUUGUCAUAAAUUACACUAUUUUAUAUUUCUAAAUAAUAUUAUAUAUUGAUAUUAUAAAAAAAUAUCAAUAAUCUCAAAAUUUGUACACCUCCUAACUUUUAAAAAGAAAUAAAAAAACUAAUUAAUUAAUGUUUAUUUUAUUCAUUAAUAUAUCAUAAUCCUACAUGUAUUUUAUUUGUUAUUUUUUUUAUUUAAAAAGAUAGGAGGGUGGAUGAAACUCAAAUAAAUUUUUAGCCUAUCCUGAUCUUUCAAGUUUCUUAUUUAGGAGGCCAGUUAAAAAAAAUUACUUAGAAAGCUACUCCAUCAAUUUAACAAAUUUUAUUUAUUUAAUUAAUGGAGGUGUAGAAAAUAAAAGUAUCUGCAAGCACAUUGCAAUAGUGAAAGCAAUGUACCGGUGUUGCAACAUAACUGAAUCUUGAUAACCUAUCACAUAUUUUAAGUUUUAAUAUUGGUAGUUCACGGAUCGGUUUCUACUUCCACGAACAAUUAUUGAAGGAAAUGAGUUUUUUUUUUAAUGAAUAUUUAUAGACCCCGAUUAAAUAUUCGAAUAUAUAAUAAAAGAGAAACUGACAUAGAAAUGAGAAAGAUAUUUGGAGGAGGCCAAAAAAAAAAAAAAAAAUGCAACAGAGAAUUAGAUCAGCAACACAAGUAACUAAUUAAUUCAUCUAUACAUCAUAAUCCUAUUUGUAUCUUCUUCCUUCUACUAAUUUACAUAUAAAUUUGGUUAGAUAAAACAUAUUUUAAUACUCGGUCACAAGCGGUGGAUAUAGAAAAUUAAUUUAGAGGGGGUAAUACCAUAACGAAAAAUAAUGAUUCAUAACUAAAAUCAACCCCAACAUCAAAACUUAUUUACAAGAUUACGCCCAGUCAAAGGUAAUUUUUCCUAAAAACUAAUACGAAAUUAAAUAAAUUUAACUUUUAGUGGGUUCAAGUGCCCACGCAUUCUGAACGUAGAUCCACCCCUGGCCCCGACUGAAGCAUUUUUUACAAUAUGUACUCAGUUUAUCAACAGGAACAACCUUCCACUUUAAAUUAAAAUUUUCACUUAAAAAUGAUUAAUGUUAAUGAGGUUAGCAACAAAAAUGAGUUUAAUUAGAGAAUAUUAUAAGAGAAAUUAUAUUUUUUGACUUUUAAUAAAUUAAAAUAUUAUUAGUUGGUGGUGGUUUCACGUCAGAUUAAGACGUGACACUUUACUUAUGAGGUCGAGACAAUCGACUUAAACUAUUUCAAUGCAUUUGAAAUUUGCACUAAUGGCUAUCAUUCUUUGUCCAAAUUAAUACGAUAAUUAAUAACAUACAAUUGAAAUAAUUAAUACUAGCACUUGGCAAUAAAUAAAGCUCUUGUGCUUGAAUCGUCACACAUGAUCACUUCAUUCCUUUAUUUACUUUGCUACCACAAAUUUUGAGGCAUUAUAACUAAAUAAUAAUUGAAUAGGGCUUUGUGUUACUUGUUGUGCGCGCGGAAUGCGGAAUCAAGCACACCAAAUUAUUACAGAAAAAUAAAGGACACAAUUAUUUGACGUGGUUCGGUAAUUAAACUUACAUCCACGGAGGCAAGAAAGAAUAAUUGUUUAUUUAACAAUUAAUAGAGUACAAAUAUUUGAGUAACGAAUCUCACUUCUCAGAAACCUAAAUAUACCCAAUACUCUCACACUCUGCAGGAAAGAUAAAUUAUCCAAACACACUUCUCUCACUUCUCUAAAAAACUUAAAAAUUUAAAAACUUAACAAUUUUGGAAUGCUUUAGAAUAGAAGAAGUGCCAUCUUAUAGGAAAAAUAAUGAUACUAUUGCACCAACCUCUUUACUAUUCCACCUAACAUAAGCAAAUUGUCAAUAGUGUCCAUUUAACUUUUUAUUUUUUUUCUUCAAUUGUUUAGUAGCCCUUUAAAAAUCUGCGUGGUUUCUUGAAAUUUAGAUGCCACAUGCAUGACUUUUCAACACUAAUUACUACGAUAAUUAAUAUUAGCACUUGGCAAUAAAUAAAGCUCUUGUGCUUGAAUCGUCACACACGAUCACUUCAUUCCUUUAUUUGCUUUGCUACCACAGAUUUUGAGGCAUUAAAACUAAAUAAUAAUUGAAUAUGGCUUUGUGCGUCGAUGACGCCAGCAACAAGGGGACCACAAUUAUCACUUUUUAAGUUGCUUUUAAAAUUGAUUUUAAUAGUGAUUUGAUUAUUGUAGUGUUUUUAUUUUUAUAUUAAAAUUAAGUCGAUUUGUUAUAAUAAACUUAGUUGAGUUUAAUGGUAUUACUACAUAAAUUGAAUAGUCAUCAAAUAUUUUAAUGUUUUUAUGGCAAGUGUUGACGUGGCAUUUAUUUGUUGUAUGAUGGAUUUUAAAAUUUAUAAAAUUAUUUGUUAUUAAAUUACCCCCAGAUGCUGCAUCACCUGAAACUUAAUAAAGGGCAUGUAGCAUUGCCAUUACUCAACAUUCACUCUUAUGACUUUAUGACAUUAGAAUUAAAAUCUUUCGUACAUUUAAUUUGUUUGCUUCCAGAUUAAUCUUUAAAAAUAUUUUUUUCACAUUAUCAUGAAUGGACAAAACUCCAACGAAAAUAACUACGCAAGAGCAAUCUAUGCUAGUAUUAUAUGCCACGAUAUCUAUAACUUUGUCAGGUCUCAGGAUCGAUCAUUCUAAUUUUUACGCAGAACUUUUAAUCAAUGGACAAACACCUCACCGAGCUUGUCGGCAGCAUUACUACGAUGUAAAAUUGUACCGGAAUAUCUUGAAGUAUUAGUAGAAUAAUGAAGACUAUUUGGAGCAAUAAAAACAAAUAACGCAGAUAAAAAAAAUGGCUAAAAUUAUGUAAGUGAGCCCCAAAGUUUUUGCUAUUUCCAGGAAAUCCCAAAUUUGAAUGGACUAGAGGGAGGCACGUAAGAAAUACAUUUUCUUCCUAGACAAUGACAGCUAUGACAUCAAGCCACGUAUUGAAAUUAAGGUGUAAUUAUUCAGCCAAUGAGCCUUACACACCAAGAUGUAUAAAAGUCAAGAAAAUGAAAUUUUAUCCCAAUUAAAACACUUUCUGGCUGCAAUUGGCUGUUUCCAUUUGAAGUUAAAAAACAACAACGUUUCUUUCGUUUUGUGGGCGAUUCGAUUGAGCACGCGCCACGAGCUAGCUGGCUUCCAGUGCUUGCGUGUGACAAUAGAAGGCUAGUGAUUUCACUUUCGCUUUUUUUUUUUUUUCUUUUUUUUGGGGAAUCAAGAUAAAAGCCAAGAAAAUGAAAAUUGGGCUGUUUCCAUUUGAAGUUAAAAACAGUGUUUCUUUCGGGGCGUCAAUUUGAUAUUUGAAUGGACAGGCAAGUAAGAAAUACAAUUCCUUCAUAGACAAUGACAACGAGGACAUCAAGGCACAUCAUUAUAGUUUGUAGCCCAUCUACAUUUAAACGAUUAAUAAACAAGCUUAGGUGUGCCACUGCUAUUAUUAAUUAUCCCCUGAUCAUUAUAGUUUCUGAAACAGUAAAACAAAACGAAAUUGAAUACAUCAACGAGAUCGCAAUUAUCACUUGUUUAGUUGCGGUAUUUAACUUAAUUUUAAUCUAAUAUAUUUGUUAGUUAAACUUUUAAUAAUCAAAUAAUUUUGACUUAAAAAUAAAAUUAUAGAAAUUAUUAAUUAUUAAAAAUUCACACAUAGCUAUUGUUUUCUCUAUAUAUUGCAGUGUGUACGAUAUUGAGGGUUGAAGCCCAAAGCAUGCCCUAAAAUCCAGAUAAUAAUUAGAUCCGGGCCAAAUAUUCAUCAUUGUGUCGGCUGAUCAGUCGGUGGACAUCUCUAUUGAAAAAAUCUCUGACAUUUCUCUCGACAAACUUAUUACUAAAAAAAAAUCAGUGGUUUUGCCGUCUGAAUAAUGUAGAAAAAUUUGUCUGUGCAUUAAUCUAGAUGUUUGAGGUGAUUUAUACAUCUGUGAUAAAGAUUUAUAGGUUGACUUAUACGUCUGUGGUAUAGAUUUUAUGUAUUUCAUUACAAAAUGCUGGCCGUUAGAACCCUUUCUACAUCUAUUUAUAAGAUUAACGGGUGCCAGUUAUGCCAUUACAAAUUAUCCCCUCAUCAGAUAUUUCGUUAAAAUUCAUUCUGAAACACUAAAACUAAAUAAUCGAACAUGGCUUUGCGGGUCGAUGAUGCCAGAAGCAAUUCGACUGCAAUUAUCACUUGUUUAGUUUCUGUGCUUGCCGUGGUUUACUUGGCAUGGAAUGUGAAAAAAUCAAGGAAAGCAAAUGCUAAACUGCCACCAGGACCUCCCGGCUUGCCUGUAGUCGGAUACCUCCCAUUUCUCGGAACUACUGACUUGCACAAGAAAUUCACGGAAUUAUCCGGAGUUUACGGUCCGAUCUUCAAGCUCUGGCUCGGAAAUAAAUUAUGUGUAGUGGUGAGCUCACCUUCCCUAAUUAGACAAGUGGUUCGUGAUCAAGAUACAACAUUCGCGAACCGUGACCCACCGAAGGCUGCACUAGUGGUCUCCUAUGGUGGCAAUGAUAUUGCAUGGUCCAAUUACGGUCCCGAAUGGAGAAAGUUGCGCAAAUUUUUUGUGGGCAAGAUGAUGAGUAACGCAAGCCUUGAUGCUUGUUAUGCUCUAAGAAAACAAGAGGUUAAAAAUACUAUCAGGGAUUUGUAUAACAACGACAACAAAAUUGGCAAGCCCAUUGACAUUGGUGAAUUGUCGUUUUCAACAUUGGUAUGUGCUAUACAGAACAUGCUGUGGGGUGAAGCGCUUGAAAUAAGAGAGAAAGGGACCACUAAUCUUGGGGCUGGGCUAAAAUUUAAGCUGGCAGAACUCAUGGUGCUUGCGGGAACACCGAAUAUUUCGGAUGUCUUUCCAAUGCUUUCAUGGCUUGACAUACAAGGUAUAGAGAGGAGAGCAAAGAAGAUUUCACUCUGGCUUGAAAAUGUUAUAAAUUCUACUGUUGAACAGCAUAGAAACAAGGAGUCAACUGUUGAAGGUGAAGAAAGAGCGGGGAAAAAUUUUGAAGGAUCAAGGAACAAGAACUUCUUGCAGUUACUAUUGGAGCUUCAAGAAAAUGAUGACAGUGCUUCCUCAAUUAGCAUGAACCAAUUCAAGGCCGUACUCAUGGUAUGUUAAGUAACUAGCAACGAACAGUUAUACAAGCACAGUUGUAUAUUUGCAUGAGUGAUAUUUUCAACCUUUUUUUUUAAUUAGAAUUUUAUUGUCACCUUUUGGACAGGAUAUAAUUACGGCUGGAACCGACACCACAGCUACGAUGGUGGAAUGGACAAUGGCAGAGUUGAUGCAGCAUCCACAAGUAAUGAAGAACGUUCAGGAAGAAUUAGCUCAAGUUGUGGGCAUGGACAGUUGUGUUGAAGAAUUUCACCUGUCUAGAUUAAAGUAUUUAGAUGCUGUGGUGAAGGAAACAUUUCGUCUGCAUCCUGCAGUGCCUUUAUUAGUACCACGCAGAGCAAGCGAGAGUGGCAGCAUUGGUGGCUAUACCAUUCCCAAAGAUACAACUCUUAUGUUGAAUGUUUGGGCUAUCCACAGGGACCCUCACCUUUGGGAUAAUCCCUUAGAAUUUCGACCCGAGAGGUUUCUGAAUGUUGGUGUCGAGAGUAAGUUCGAUUACUCAGGUAACAAUUUUCAGUACUUGCCAUUUGGUUCUGGUAGAAGAAUGUGUGCUGGGAUUCCUCUAGCUGAGAGGAUGCUGAUGUUUGUUUUGGCUUCGUUAUUGCACUCAUUUGAGUGGGAAUUGCCAGCUGGCACAAAGCUAAACUUAUCUGAAAAAUUUGGGAUUGUCAUUAAGAAAAAAGAGCCUUUGGUUGCUAUUCCAACACCAAGACUAUCCAAUUCAGAGCUCUACCAUUAAGACAAAAUGGUUGUGAUGAUUUUGUUAAUUUUCCGAAGAUUUGUAUGUUAUUUAGUUCAAUCGUAAUAAAAUAUUUCAAAUAAGAGUCCUCCGUUGCUUUUUUUUUUUUUUUUUUUUCAACGGCAUAAUCUGUCGUCAUGCUUGUAUUUGGAGCUACUUUGGAAUAAUUAUGUUUGAAUUACAAUUUAUAAAUAUUUACGUUUUAAAUUUUUUAUAAGAGUCUAAAUUUAUACACGUUUAAUAUCCCGCUUCAUAGAUAUUUAACACAAUUUAUAUCAUACAUUGUAUACCCAUUUGUCAUAAAUUAUACUAUUUUGUAUCUCUAAAUAAUAUUACGUAUUGAUAUUAUAAUAUAUAUAUAUAUGUUUAUCAAAAGACUAUACCAUUCAAUAUAUAUUGAAAAGAGAACAAAGAAGAUUUUCUUAUGGUUUAAAAAUAUUAUGAAUUCUGCUGUUGAACAGUAUGGAAACAAGGUCUCUGUUGUUAAAGGUGAAGAAGCAACAGGGAACAAUAUUGAAGGAAGAAAUUUCACAUGUUUAGUUGCUGAAUUUGCCGCUGUAUUCUAUCGGUAGUAGAGUUUUUAUUUUUCUCUAUUAAUUUAAGUCAAUUUUCUAUAACAAAUUCGGUUGAGUUUAAUUGUGUUAUAAUAUAAAUUGAAUGAUAAUAGAAUUUUCAACAAAUAUUUCAAUAUUUCUAUCUCGAUUGUUGAAGUGCCAUUUAUUUGUUAUGCGAUCGAUUUUAAAAUUUAUAAAAUUAUUUGUUACUAAAUUGCAUCAUAUGCUAAAAUCACCUGAAACCUAAUUCCAUAACUAACCCUUUAUUUUUAGUUCUCAAGAAAUCUUGUAAGAACAAAAAUCUUUUAUAACAAAACUUUUACAACACAUUAAUUUGUAACUCAUUCCUGUGCGCGAAUCACUCUCAAUUUCCUUCAAUUGCUGUUUAACAAUCAUCUACUUAUCAAAAUUCAAGCAUAAUCUUUUUUUUUUAAUUUCUUCAUCAUUCUUUAAAAAAAAAAUCAGGAUAUGCUGUUAAAUUUUGAAAUAAAUAAAUUAACCAAAGUUGGUUGAUGUGAGUGGUUCAAUGAUGAGCAUAAUUUAUAUACAUAUUUUACCUUUAAUUAUAUAAUUAUUAGUUAUUUUUAUUAGUUAUUUUUAAUUAAUUGAAUUAUUUUAUUGCAUAGAGAAUUAAUUGGAGAUUGGGAAACAAAAAGUGCAUAAAGAAUAACAAGUUUGGGAAAGCAUCAAUCAAAGCCGUGACGCAAUUAAGAGUUUAUAGCAUAUGAAGCCAAGAGUAAUUUGCACUCAAAAAGAAUUUCAAUUAUUCAAGUGACCUGGACCUGCAUGGCAUUGUAAUGCAUGGAAAGCAACUUAAAGGGGCCCACACUUGGCUUUUACAAUUGGAAAAAGGAAUCCUAGUGCAAGCUUAAUUGAUGAGCACGUGAGUGAGAGCAAAGAAAAUUAAAAGGCCAAGCCUUUUGGCUUAAGGAAAUAACAAGGUCGGUGGGGCCCAUUUUAAAGAGUAAUAUAAAAGCAAGCUUUUGGCUUUUGGAGAGAGGAGCCGCGAGAGGAGGAAAACGCAAGACAAAGAGAAGAAAAUCUGCAGCAGUUCGGCUUCUAUGGUUGGUUUUAUCUCUUUUGUUACUCUUAAUUCAAAUAUGUCUAGUUAAUUUUCUUAUAUUAAAGUUAAGGAUGAAACCCUAUUCAAUGAAAUAAUUAUCUUUUUAUUUAUUUAAUUCCCAUAUAUGUUCUUUAAUGAUUAUGAUUUUUAUUUCACAUGAUUAAUUGGAUGUUAUUAAAAUUUUUUCAUCAAUUCUGUCAUGCAUUAUUGAUUGUUAGGAUUAAUAUUCAAUUAAAUCUAUACUUAGAUUUAUAACGUUUAUACAUGAUUAUCUUUGAUUCUAUGUCUUUCAUUAAAUUGUUUACAUGGAGUGCUUAGGAAAACUUUGACUCUUUGUUAUUCAAUAUGUUCACAUGGGAUACUUAGAUGUCAUACUAUUAAGCGGAAAAAGAACCUAUAUUAGAUUUAAUUAUUUGGGCUUAAUUGUUAUAUCCAUGAGAUGACACAAAUUGAUUUCGAGUUGUCACUCUAAAAUUAGAGAUUAAUGAAUAUUUAGAUAAUUACUAGUUGAAUAGCGGUGGAUUCUGAAACCUUGGUAAUUUCUAUCUUAUUGAAUUCUCCUUUACUUUAAUUGUUUUCUUAGUUUAAUUAAUUUAAUUUCUUUUAAAACUCAAUUUGCUUAACUAGGUUAGAAUUAAUAUUAAUUUUAGAUUUAAAUUAGACUUUUCAAUUUAUAACAAUCCAUGUGGGAUCGACCUCGUUACCACUACUUUAUUUCUAGAUUCGUGCACUUGCGAGUAUAUUAAAAUUUUCACAACAAGUUUUUGGCGCCGUUGCCGGGGAUUGUGCCAGAAAGUCAGUUUAAUCUAGGUUGAUUUGAUUCUUCCACUAGUUAUAAUUUAUGUUGUCUUUUAUUUUAUUAUUAUUUUUAAUUAACAAAAACACACAAAAAAACUUUUAUUUUUCUUUAAAUUCAUUGUUUGGUUGUUUGAUUUCUUUUAUUUUUUAAAUUUUGUUUAUUCUCAUUAUUGUUGGUUUAUUUUAUUUUAUUUUUUUCUUUCCUUGUCUAGUUAGUUUAUGAGUGUUUGGGAAUGUGAUUCAACAAAUCGUUUGGUAAAAGAGAGUCAAAAAUUGAUAGUAGUCAAGUUAGUUCUUCUGAAGUCAUGGAUGACCCAAAUAGAUUAUUGCCAAUACUUCCACCAGUGCAAGCAGAGAAAACCCUUAGAGAAUAUUUUUCACCACUUGCAGCCAACCAACCAUCUUGUAUUGUGUUGCCACAAACUACAGCAACACACUUUGAACUUUUUGAACUUAAGCCCUCAGUCAUCCAACUUUUACCAUCUUUCCAUGGGUUAGAGAGAGAGGAUCCAUAUUUGCACAUUAAGGAAUUUCUUGACAUAUGCUCUACAUUCCGUUUUCAAAAUUUUAAUGAUGAGUUAAUCAGGCUUCGUAUGUUAUCUUUCUCAUUAAAAGACAAAGCAAAAGCUUGGUUGAAUUCGCUUUCUGCUGGGUCUAUAACUACGUGGGAUGAAUUGAAUAAUAAGUUCCUCACCAAGUUUUUCCCUAUGUCUAAAACAAAUGCCCUUAGGAGAGAGAUAAGUGAUUUCUAUUAAAGAGAGGGUGAGCAAUUUUAUGAGUGUUGGGAAAGAUUCAAUGAUUUACUCCUCAAGUGCCCCCACCAUGGUUUUGAGAAAUGGAGACUUAUACAAUGCUUUUAUAACGGUUUAACCAUGUCGAAUCGUCAUAUGGUAGAGUCUAUGAAUGGUGGGAGAUUUUUGAACCUACAUGAAGGGGCUGCAUGGGAUUUCUUUAAUUCACUUUCUGAGAAUUCUCAACAGUGAGAUUUUUCAAGCCAAAGGGAAAAAUCAUCUCAAGUUUCUAGAAAGGGGUUAUAUGAAGUUAAGGAUGAUUUUGAUGUGAAAUCCACUCUAAUUACACUUUCUAGAAAAGUAGAUGCCUUAGCUCUGAACCAAUCAAUGAAUCAUCAUCCUAGUGUAGCUAAUGAGGUUUGUGCUAUUUGUUCUAACUUGUCUCAAACAGCACAAAACUGUCCAUCAUUACCAGUCUAUCCAGAGGCUUAUUCUGAGCAGGUACAUGCCUUACAAUCAUAUGAGAAAACCUCCAAUAAUACAUAUUCACUCACAUAUAAUCCUAAUUGGAGGAAUCACCCUAAUUUUUCUUGGAAACAAAAUCAAUCUUUGUCAAACCAAGGAGGACAACAAUUUAACAUGCCCAAUCAACAAUUUGUCCCUCCUAACCAAGUAUAUCCUCCUGCCCAACAACCUAUAUCUCAAUUUGUUACACCCCAACAAAGAAAACCUUCUUUAGAGGAUACACUUCAAAGUUUCAUUCAGUCAACCUAAUAAGCUUUUCAGUCAAACACUCAAGCUAUUCUAAAGCUUGAACAUCAAUUGGGUCAAUUAGCAACUACUGUAGCGGAGAAAGAAAAAAGAAAAUUCCCCAGUCAAUCAAUUCCUAAUCCUAAAGGAGUGCAUGAAGUUGGAUCGAGUUCAAGCCAUCAGCAUGAAGAAGCAAAAUCAAUUAUGACCUUGAGAAGAGGAAAAUUGUUUGACAACAAAGUGGAGGUUCAAACAAAGAAGACAUCUGAGCCUACUUCUUCAGAUCCAAUUACAUCACAAGAAUCAUCACCAAAUGAUCUUGAAGAGAGUGACCCGCUAGCUUACAUUCCCAAGGCUCAUUUUCCUCAAAGGUUAACAAAGGUAAAGAAAGGGACUUCAACAUGUGAGAUUAUAGAAAUCUUCAAGCAGGUAAGUAUAAACAUCCAUUUACUCGAUGCUAUUAAGCAAGUUCCUUCCUAUGCCAAGUUUUUGAAAGAUUUAUGCACUAAAAAGAGAAAUUUGCAUGUCACUAAAAAGGCGUUUUUAACUGAACAAACUAGCAAUUUACUUCAAUGUAAAAUGCCACCAAAAUUUAAGGAUCCUGGUUCUCCUACUAUUUCAUGUGUUAUAGGGAACCAAUGUUUUGAUAAAGCAUUAUUGGAUUUAGGUGCUAGUGUUAAUCUCUUACCUUAUUCCAUUUACAUGCAGCUUGGACUAGGUGAGUUAAAAUCAACUCCUAUUAUUUUGCAACUUGCUGAUAGGUCAAUGAAAAUACCUCGUGGUAUUAUAGAGGAUGUGUUGAUACAGAUUGACAAAUUUUAUUAUCCUGUUGAUUUUAUUGUUAUUGAUACUCAACAUGUACAUGAUCUUAAGAAACACACUCCACUUAUUCUUGGUCGUCCUUUCUUAGCUACAGCUGAUGCUCAUAUUAGUUGCAGGACUUGAAACAUGCAAUUGUCUUUUGGUAACAUGACCAUGGAAUUAAAUAUUUUUAAUGUUCCCAAGCAGGCACAAGAAGAUGAUGAAGUCGUUGAAGUAGAUAUGAUAGAAGCAUCAAUUGAUGACUCACUUAUUUCUAACCAUUGUGACAAUCCAUUAAUACCUUGCACAACUGACUCUGAUUUCUCUAUUGAUGUUGAUAGUGAUAUUGAAGAAGUUAAUGCUUUACUUGAUUCGACUCUUAUCAUAGAUCUAAUUAAGUGGAAAGAAAAGAUAAGAUUGAGCCACUUCCUCCUGAAGAGAAAAGUGCAACAUAGGUCACAUUCUGACAUAAAAAAGGUGGUAAGAUCUAAAACGCUUAAAUUAUUAGAUUUUUAUACUACUUUAGAUAACUCUCAGGAAAGCUUAGAACAGAAGAGAUCAAAGCAAUGCGAUAUUGAGGAGUUUCAUUACCAUCAUCCUUUUAUGGAUAAAAUGCUCCAGUGCUUAAUCAAUUAUGCUUUUUGGUAUUUUCUAUAUAAUUGCUUUAAUUUUCACCAAAUUCUUAUUGAUCCUGGUUGAUUUGUUGUUUACAUUAAUUAGUUAGUUAGUCGGAUUUUUUUAUUAUUAUUUAUAUUUCUUCUAACGUUUUCUUUUGAGUUGUCAUUCUUUUAAGUUUUCCUAGCUCAGUCAGGUGUGUUCUCUCCAACUUUCUCUUUUAUUAUUUAUGUUUUUAUUUUUCAUCUUUUUGCGUGCAUAUCUUUUAUUUAUGACACAUUGAGGACAAUGUUCCGAAUAAGUUUGGGGGUGGGAAUAAUGUUGCUUUGUUUGUUAAAAAAAACUAAAAAAAAAUUUCAAAAAUUCAAAAAAAAAUUGUGUUUUUUUUGUUUUUACGUGAAAAGCCAAUGAUAAAAACUUGAUUGACAAUGAAUAUGGUUUUUAGAAAGGGUUUAAUAUUGUCUUAAUUUAUACUUGAUUCUUAUGUUAGUUCCUCUUGAUUGAGAUUCUUUAAAAUAUAAGCACUAAUAUCAAUUCUUUCAUAAUUUUGACUUGAAAUUUGAGAUUGACGCAGCCUGAGUUGAGAAUUUUAGAUAGAGUAAAUGACUGUUUGUCUUUAUUCUUAUCUCCACAAUACAAAAUAGUAUACACAGGCACCAAAGUCAGAAAUAACUACCUAUAAUCCUUAAGAGUGAAGCUAUCCUUGAGUAAUUUAGGCCUAUGUACCACAAGUAUGUAGAGGAUAAUCUACCAUGAGAAGAAUGCUACCUUAAGGGGUAGAGUGAAAGCUCCUGACUAUGGUUAAAAAAAAAAGAAGAAGAAAAAGAGAAAGAAAAAAUCAAAUCAAGUGCAUGUGCUGAAAAAAAAAUCAAAAGAAAAUGCACAUAAAAGCCUGUGAAAAAAAAAUUGGAGAUUAAGAUGAUAAGAUUAGCUUGACCUACUCUUUUCUUUUUUUGAGGCGAAGGUUGUUGAUAUUGAAGAUUUUAGGAAUGAAUUUGAUUGAAUUGAUUUCACACACACACAACAAGAAUCGAAAGAGAGAUGGGAUUGAUUAUUGAAUUAAAGUUAGAACUUUGCCAAUAUUUGAAAUUUUGUUUGAGCUAUAUAAUUUAUGCAAUCUUUGAGGGUAUUUUCAUAUUUUAUUUAAAGUUUUUUUUUCUUUUUAUUUUAUUUUAUUUAUUUUUUAUUUUUUUAAAAUGAUGUUUGUGGGUGUCAUCACUGAAGCUCUCACGAGACUAUAACUCGUCCACUAGGGGUUUAAAGGCUUGUUGCAUACGCUAAAUGCAAUCGCGAUUACCUGCGAAAAUGGUUUAGUUAGGAUUUACUUUUUGUUUUGUUAUUUUUUUUUUUUUUUUUAGUUUUAGCUUUGCUCGAGGACUAGCAAAAUCUAAGUUUGGGGGUAUUUGAUGAGCAUAAUUUAUAUACAUAUUUUACCUUUAAUUAUAUAAUUAUUAGUUAUCUUUAUUAGUUAUUUUUAAUUAAUUGAAUUAUUUUAUUGCAUAGGGAAUUAAUUGGAGAUUGGGAAACAAAAAGUGCAUAAAGAAUAACAAGUUUGGGAAAGCAUCAAUCAAAGCCAUGACACAAUUAAGAGUUUAUAGCAUAUGAAGGCAAGAGUAAUUUGCACUAAAAAAGAAUUUCAAUUAUUCAAGUGAUCUGGACGUGCAUAGUAUUGUAAUGCAUGGAAAGCAACUUAAAGGGGCCCACACUUGGCUUUUACAAUUGGAAAAAGGAAUCCUAGUGCAAGCUUAAUUGGUGAGCACGUGAGUGAGAGCAAAGAAAAUUAAAAGGCCAAGCCUUUUGGCUUAAGGAAAUAACAAGGUCGGUGGGGCCCAUUUUAAAGAGUAAUAUAAAAGCAAGCUUUUGGCUUUUGGAGAGAGAAGCCGCCAGAGGAGGAAAACGCGAGACAAAGAGAAGAAAAUAUGCCGCAGUUCGACUUCUAUGGUUGGUUUUAUCUCUUUUGUUACUCUUAAUUCAAGUAUGUCUAGCUAAUUUUCUUAUAUUGAAGUUAAGGAUGAAAUCAUAUUCAAUGAAAUAAUUAUCUUUUUAUUUAUUUAAUUCCCAUAUAUGUUCUUUAAUGAUUAUGAUUUUUAUUUCACAUGAUUAAUUGGAUGUUAUUAAAAUCUUUUCAUCAAUUCUGUCAUAUAUUAUUGAUUGUUAUGAUUAAUAUUAAAUUAAAUCUAUACUUGGAUUUAUAAAGUUUAUACAUGAUUAUCUUUGAUUCUAUGUCUUUCAUUAAAUUGUUUACAUGGAGUGCCUAGGAAAACUUUGACUCUUUGUUAUUCAAUAUGUUCACAUGGGAUACUUAGAUGUCGUACUAUUAAGCGGAAAAAGAACCUAUAUUAGAUUUAAUUAUUUGGGCUUAAUUGUUAUAUCCAUGAGAUGACAUAGAUUGAUUUCGAGUUGUCACUCUAAAAUUGGGGAUUAAUGAAUAUUUAGAUAAUUACUAGUUGAAUAGUGGUGGAUUCUGAAACCUUGGUAAUUUCUAUCUUAUUGAAUUCUCCUUUACUUUAAUUGUUUUCUUAGUUUAAUUAGUUUAAUUUCUCUUAAAACUCAAUUCGCUCAACUAGGUUAGAAUUAAUAUUAAUUUUAGAUUUAAAUUAGACUUUUCAAUUUAUAACAAUCCCUGUGGGAUCGACCUCGUUACCACUACUCUAUUUCUAGAUUCGUGCGCUUGCGAGUAUAUUAAAAUUUUCACAACAUUCGGCACUCUCACUCCUUAAGAGAGGUCAGGGGUUCAAGCCUCGCUCUCGUAUGGAGUCACCACUUUGACCAGCACUUUACCCCUUACAGACCGACCCGGUGCGAGCAUGAAUUAGUCUGGGUUGUGGUACGGGCUUAAAGGUGCCUCCCACAAUUGAGACCCACUCAGGACCACCUCGUGGUUCGGACAAAAAAAAAAUUGAAAUAAAUUAUCUCAAAAUAAUUACUAACCAGAAAAAACAAAGGGGUUUAACUAGGUUAUGCAUACCUUUGAAAAUUAUAUGUUGAUCGAUAAGCAUGAUGAUCACGAUUGAGGAGUUUAAUUAAAAUUUAUAAGAUUUUAAAAUUAAUCAGGGUUAAAUUCUAAAUUUUAGAAAGAGAGGUUUUGUGAGAAUGCUGAAAGGGUGUUAAUAGUUCCACUCUUUUUUAAAAAAACCAUAGUCAUCAUUUUUCCCGAUUUCUUCUUCCCAUCUCCAUCUUAUUUAGAAAUUUCCCAGAGCCUUUGUUUCCCACCAUUCAUUUUUCUUCUUUCUAAUUUAAGAUUAUAGUAUUAUAAAAAUAAUUACUCACAUUUUAUCAAACACCUCCAUUAUACCAAGGCCUUGUUUUAGUAGUAGGCUUUUAUUAUCUCAAUAAAAUUGAAAAAACAAAGCUCAAUAAUAUUGGAAAAAAAACCUACCCAUAUUUGUAACUUUAAUUUAUUAUUCUCCAUAGACCUACUUUUUAGCUUUGAAUUUUGUUGGAGCCAUAUAUAAACAGAAUAUGUUGAAAUCAGCACAAAAAAAAAACUAAUUAUAUAAUUUUUGUUCCCAAGGACACGACUGUGUGAUUUUUAAGAAGUUUUGUUUGGCUGGCCACUUAGGUUUAAAUCUUGGUGGAGAUUAGGGGUUAAGAAAUAAAUUUGGACUUUGCACACCCCUUUAACUUUUAAAAAGAAUGAAAAAAACUAAUUAAUUAAUCUUUAUUUUAUUUAUUAAAUGUCAUAAUCAUAUGCAUAUUUUAUUUGUUAUCUUUCUAUUUAAAAGAUAGGAGGGCAAAUAAAACUGAAAUAAAUGUUUAUCCCUAUCUCCAUCUUUCAAGUUCCAUAGUUAGGUGACCAGCUAAAGAAAAUUAAUUGAAAGUUACUCCAUCAAAUUAAAAAAAAUUAUUUAUUUAAUUUGUGGAGAUGUAGAAAAUCAAACCCCAUACCUUUUCGCAUGCAAAAGUGUCAACCUGGUCUAGCUAUGUUGCAACAGUAAACAUAUUUUAAUACAUGACUAUCAUCUUUUAUCCUAAAUACUACUAUAACUAUGGGUUCAGUUAUGCUGUAACUGUGGUAUGGUACCACAGUUGUUUUCAACCAUUAAAUUCAACUUAUAUAACUAUGCAACUGUAGAUCUAACGGCUGAAAGCAACUAUGGUACCAUACCACAGUUGCAACAUAGUUUUGCCCCUAUAACUCAUAACAUUCAAUUGAAAUAAUAAAUGUUAACACUUGGCUAUAAAUAAAGGUUUUGUACUUGAAUCUUCAUGCAUGACCUUCAUUCCUUUAUUGACUUUGCUAACACAGAUUUUGAGGCAUUAAAACUAAAUAAUAAUUGACUUUGUGGGCCGAGGAUGCCAGCAACAAGGAGACCACAAUUAUCACUAGUUAAGUUACUCUAAUUGCCGUUGUCUUAUAUUCAUAAAAUAUUAGUAAUAAGAUUAUUGUAGAAUUUUUUUAUAUUAAAAUUAAGUCAAUUUGUUAUAACAAAUUUAGUUGAGUUUAAUCGUGUUACUACAUACAUUGAAUAAUAAUAGAAUUCUCGACAAAUAUUUCAAUAUUUUUAUCCCAAGCGUUGGAGUGGCAUUUAUUUGUUAGACAAUCGAUUUUAGAACUUAUAAAAUUAUUCGUUACUGAAUUGCACCAUAUGCUGCAUGACCUGAAACUUAAUAAACGGAACGUAGCGUUGGCAACAUUCACUGUCAUGACUUUGUGACAUUAGAAUUAAAUUUUUUUGCACAUUUAAUUUGUUUACUUCCAAAUUAAUAUUUAACAAAAUAUUUUUUCACAUUAUCAAUGGACAAAACUCCAACGAAAAUAACUAUACAAUAUAUGCUAGUAUUGUAUGCCAUAUCAUCUGUAAUUUUGUCAGGAUCGAUCAUUUUAAUUUUUAAGCAAAACUUUUUAUCAAUGGACAAACACCUCACACAGCUUGUCAGAGGCAUUAUUAUGAUGGAAAACUGAUAAACAGUGAACUCGAAACUCAAUUACUACAAGUCGUUUAGAGGAUUCAGUCUUGGAUGACUUGUCACUUGUGGAAUUCUUGAAGCCAGAACCGACAUAAUCUCAGUCGUCAUUCUGUCUUAAGUAAUACACAUGGUUUGCAUGUGUGUUGAAGCUGACUCUUUGCUUGGAUCAAGAAACGACGUCUUUGAGUGCCGUUUCUUAAACACACUUUAAAUCAGCUUGUGUCAAGCACGUGAGGUAGAGCUUUUUGAAUAGAUUUGGCGGGAAUGGUAGUUAGUGUAACAACCCAGAAAUAGAGGUUAAAAGGUGAAGGCUUUGUCAUCAUCUACACAUGAUUUGGGAAACAUUGAGAGUAGAGAAAAAGAUAGAGAGAGAAAGGGGUUAACAAGUUCUUGUUCUCUGUAAAUCGAUUUAUAUUCUUGUAAAGUUUGUGAUCUCAAUUAGUGAAAGACUGUUGCUUUGUUUCCAGUGGAUGUAGGCACCACUUCUUGGUGCUGAACCACUUAUACUUGGUGUCAUAUUGUUUCUUUAAUGCUUUGAUUCUUGCGUGUGAUUGUUGCUGGAUAAUCUGUGCUGUUAAUUCUCAAACCAUUGAUACAGAAUUAAUGUCUUGGGGAGAAUUUGGUUAGUCUUAUCAAAGCCGAAUUCACAACAAAUUGGUAUCAGAGCCCUCUUUUCUGUAUCAAGGUUCAAGAAAUGACUAACAAGGUGGAUCUUGAGAAGUUCAAUGGUCAGAAUGAUUUCAAUAUGUGGAGGAUCAAGAUGGAAGCAUUGUUAAUCACACAAGGUCUGGGAGAUGCCAUUGAUCCAGUCAUUAAGAGUGAAAAUGCAGAAGCCUAUUCUUCAAGAACUCCAGAACAGAUGGCUAAGAUUGAAAAAAAGGCAAGAAGCACCAUCAUCCUCAGUCUUGGUGACUUAGUGAUAAGGGAAGUUGCCAAGAAAAAGACUGUUGCUAGGCUCUGGGCAAAACUGGAACAAUUGUAUAUGACAAAGUCCUUAGCAAACAGGCUAUACAUCAAGAAAAAGAUGUUCUCACUGAGGAUGAUUGAAGGAGCAUCACUUGAUGAACACAUAGAUGAGUUUAAUAAAGUUUGUGAUGAACUGGAAACAAUUGAUGAAGGACUGAGUGAUGAGAGCAAGGCUUUGCUGUUAAUCAGUUCUUCACCAAAAUCAUAUGAACAUUUUGUGGAUGCCUUGUUAUAUGGAAGGCAAUCACUCUCCUUGGAAGAGGUUAAAUCUACUCUUGGUACCAAGAAGUUAAAAGAAAAACAAGAUAACUCAGAGAGUGAAUCAAGUGAAGGGCUGAUGGCAAGGGGCAGAUCUGAAAAAAAGGAGUACAAAGGAAAAAAACAAGGGAGAUCAAAGUCAAAGCAGAAACAUUUGAAGUGUUUUCACUGCCACAAAGAAGGGCAUUUCAAGAGGGAUUGCCCUGAGAGAAAAACAAAGCAAAAGGAAUCAAAAGACAAAUCUGGAAAUACAGCAAUAGCCACAGAAGAAACCAGUUUUGAGAUAGCUGAAGUCCUCAUUGCCACAAAAGAAAAAAACUCAAGGUCAGUGGGUACUAGACUCUGGAUGUACUUUUCAUAUGAGUCCAAAUAGAAAUUACUUUACUACAUAUCAGUCCUGUGAUGGGGGUAUGGUGCUGAUGGGAAAUAAUUCAGUUUGUAAAGCAGUUGGGAUUGGGACUGUAAGCCUUAAGAUGUAUGAUGGCAUGGUUAGAGAACUAACUCAGUUUAGGCAUGUUCCUGAGCUUAAAAGGAACCUAAUAUCUAUUGGCAUGCUUGAUCAAACUGGAUGUGUCAAUAAGGCUGAAAAUGGGUCAUUGAAAGUUAUCAGAGGCUCAAUAGUCAUAAUGAAAAGUUCCAAGCAAAAUGGUUUGUAUGUGUUGAAUGGACAUACAACUGUUGGAGAGGCAAGUGUCACUGAGAAGAGUGAAGACAAAGCAAGACUAUGGCACUUGAGGUUGGGGCAUAUGAGUGAAAGGGGAUUGAAGGAGCUUCAAAAGAAUGGGGUGUUUGGAAGUGACAAGCUAAGUUCUUUGGGGUUCUGUGAAGACUGUAUCCUAGGGAAGGCUUCCAAUCUCAAGUUUGAAUCUGCAGUUCAUUCUACCAAAGAGAAGCUUGCAUAUAUACACUCUGAUAUGUGGGGGCCUGCACAGGUAAAUUCUCUUGGUGGCUUUAAGUAUUUCUUAUCCUUAAUAGAUGACUAUUCAAGGAUGGUUUGGGUGUAUGUACUCAAAACCAAAGAUGAAGCUUUGGAAAAGUUUUAGAGGUGGAAAAUUCUGGUAGAAACACAGACAAGUUUGAAAGUAAAAGCUCUAAGAACAGAUAAUGAAUUGGAAUUCUGCAACAAAGAGUUUGGAGACUUUUGUAAAAGACAUGAGAUUAUGAGGCACAAAACAGUCAUACACACACCUCAGCAAAAUGGUUUUGCUGAGAGAAUGAACAGAACCUUAAUGGACAAGGUGAGGUGUAUACUGCUAUACUCAAAGCUGCCUAAGUCACUCUGGGCAGAGGCCUUAAACACAGCAUGUUACUUGGUAAAUAUAAGUCCAUCUACAGCAAUAGAAUGCAAAACACCUAUCGAGCUAUGGUCUGGAAGGGUUGCAGAUUACUUUAAACUGAGAAUCUUUGGAUGUGUUGCUUAUGCAUAUGUCAAACAAGGCAAAUUGGAGCCAAGAGCUUUAAGGUGUAGAUUUCUAGGAUACCCUGAUGGAGUUAAAGGCUAUAGGCUAUGGUGCAUUGAUUUGAAGCCACCAAAAUGCAUUAUCAGCAGGGAUGUAACUUUCAAUGAGUCAGAAAUCUUGAACAAAUCCAAAACCACUUAAUCCAAAGAUCAUAUAUCAGAAACAAGACCUGGGAGUGUUCAGUUUGAGGUGGAGUCCUAUGAACAAGAUAGGACUGAAUCAGAAACUGAAGGAGAUUCAGGAAGGGUUACUGAUGGAUUUGAUGUUGUUCAGGAGUCAGAGCCAGCUGAGAAUGAAGAUAAUUCUUAUCAGUUGGUCAGGGAUAGAAAGAAGAGAGCUGUAAGACCACCUAAGAGGUAUACAAUAGCAGAUUUCAUAGCUUAUACAUUAACAGUUGCACAAGAGGUAAAUGAGGAAGAGCUAAGAACCUAUAAAGAAGCUAUAAACAGCAUGGAUAAGAUGAAAUGGAAGGAGGCUAUGGAUGAGGAAAUUGAAUCACUAAUGAAAAAUGGAACUUGGAAGCUGAUAGUUAGACUAGAAAAAAGGAAGACUGUUAGCUGCAAAUGGAUCUUCAAAGUUAAGGAAGGUAUAUCUGAUGCUGAACCUAGUAGGUUUAAAGCUAGGCUGGUAGCAAGAGGCUUCACACAAAGAGAGGGGAUUGAUUUCCAUGAAAUCUUCUCUCUAGUUGUGAAACAUGCCUCCAUCAGAGUCAUCUUAGCUUUAGUUGCCAUUCAAGACAUGUACCUGGAGCAUAUGGAUGUUAAAACAGCCUUCCUGCAUGGUGAAUUACAAGAAGAAAUUGUAAUGGAACAGCCUGGGGGGUAUGUGGUGUCUAGUAAGGAAAAUCAUGUGUGCUUACUAAAGAAAUAUUUAUAUGGAUUAAAGCAGUCUCCUAGGCAAUGGUACUUGAAGUUUGAUAGUUUUAUGACAAAACAUGCCUACAAGAAAUGCAAUUAUGAUUGUUGCGUGUACUUUAGGGACAUUGGUGAUGGAAAGAUGAUUUAUCUUAUGCUGUAUAUGGAUGACAUGCUUAUAGCAUGUCACAGCAUAGAUGAAAUCAGUCAUUUAAAGAAUCUCUUGAGCAGUGAAUUCGAUAUGAAAGAUCUUGGAGCUGUAAGGAAGAUCUUAGGUAUGGAAAUUAUCAGAGACAGGAGAAGGAAGCUUAUGUUUUUAACCCAACAGAGCUAUGUUAAGAAGGUGUUGCUUAGAUUUGGGAUGCAUGAAUCCAAGUCUGUUCAAACACCUUUGGCAAAUCACUUCAAGCUGUCUGCUGCACAUUGUCCACAAACUGAUGCAGAGCAAGGAAAAAUGGCAAGGAUACCUUACUCCAGUGCAGUUGGGAGCCUCAUGUAUGCCAUGGUUCUCACUAGACAUGAUAUCUCACAUGCUGUGAGUAUAGUGAGUAGAUUCAUGGCAAAUCCAGGUUAUGAGCAUUGGAGGGCAGUCCAGUGGAUAAUGAGGUACCUGAAAGGCACUAUGGAGUUUGGUCUGCUAUAUGGAGGGUUAAAACAGGAAGGGCACAAGCUGGUGGGGUAUGUUGACUCAGACUUCGCUGGAGAUCUUGAUAAAAGGAGGUCUCAGACAUGUUUUAUAUUCACUUUGGGAGGCUGCACUGUGAACUGGAAAGCUACUCUGCAAAGUGUGGUAGCUUUGUCCACAACUGAAGCCGAAUAUACAGCAGCUGCAGAAGCUUUUAAGGAAGUCAUCUGGUUAAAAGGAAUGGUCUCAGAGUUAGGAGCAAAACAAGAAACAGUUGAAGUAUACUGUGAUAGCCAGAGUGCAAUACAUUUGAGUAAAAACCAGACCCAUCAUGAAGGAACAAAACAUAUUGAUGUAAAGCUUCAUUUUGUAAGACUUGAAGUUUCAAAGGGAACUGUGAAGAUGCUCGAGGUUCACACUGAUCAAAAUCCAACCGAUAUGUUGACUAAAGCUGUGCCUUCUGCCAAGCUCAACUUCUGUUUGAGCUUAGCAGGAAUUUGCAGUUUCUGAUCAGCUGCAAAAGAAAGGGAAUAAAGUAUACAGGAGUAGCUAGAGUUCAGAGUUCACACUGAUUAAAAGGUGCAGGCUUUGUCAUCGUCUACACAUGAUUUGGGAAACACAGAGAGUAGAGAAAAAGAUAGAGAGAGAAAGGGGUUAACAAGUUCUUGUUCUCUGUAAAUCGAUUUCUAUUCUUGUAAAGUUUGUGAUCUCAAUUAGUGAAAGAUUGUUGCUUUGUUUCCAGUGGAUGUAGGCACCACUUCUUGGUGCUGAACCACUUAUGCUUGGUGUCAUAUUGUUUCUUUAAUGCUUUGAUUCUUGCGUGUGAUUGUUGCUGGAUAAUCUGUGCUGUUAAUUCUCAAACCAUUGAUACAGAAUUAAUGUCUUGGGGAGAAUUUGGUUAGUCUUAUCAAAGCCGAAUUCACAACAAAAACUGUAAUGGUAUAUCUUGAAUUAUUGGUAGAAUAGUUCUUUGGAGCAAUAAAAACAGAUAAGACAGAUGAGAAAAUUGUCAAUACCCCACCGCAAAAGCAAAAGAAAACAAGGAAAGGAGACAAAAGAGGAAGAAGAAAAAGAAAAAAGAACGAAGAAAAAAAUGGUGCCGUGCGGUAUAGGCAAGAAGAAAAAAUAAUAAAAAAUAAUAAAAUAAUAGUGCACAACAAUCAUUUGAUUGCUAUAAAUAAAAGGCGUUUCCCUCAUUUUAUUCAUCGAAUUCUUCAGUUCCUUUCAAGCGAUUUAAGAGUCUAGUGAUUUGAGAGUUUGGGUGUAGUAUGAUUUUGGGUAGUGAGCUAAAAUACUACAAUACUUGUAACUCAUUUUUAUUAGUAAAAUAUUUUCCUUCUGACUUCGCCCGUGGACGUAUGCUAAAAGCCGAAUCACGUAAUUUCUGGUGUCCCUAUGUGAUUAUGUGUCUCAUUAUUUCUUAAUUUCACUUUAGUUGCGUGUCUGCGACACCCCUCAAUUUAUUAACAAAAAAUGGCCAAAAUUAUAUAAGUGACCCAAAUUUUUUUGUUAUUUCCAAGAAAUCCCCAAUCUGAAUGGGCUAGACCAGAGGGAGGCAAGUUAGAAAUACAUUUCCUUCAUAGACAAUAACAGUGAUGAGUCGAUGACAUCAAGCCACGUCGGUAUCAAUAUUGAAUUAAAGGUGCAAUUAUUCAGCCAAUGAACCUUACACAUCAAGAUAAAAGUCAAGAAAAUGAAAAUUUAUCCCAAUUAAAACACUUUCUGGCUGCAUUUAGUUGUUUCCAUUAGAAGUUAAAAACAACGUUUCUUUCGUUUUGUGGGCAACUCAACUGAGUUAGCUGGCUUCUAGUGCUAGUAUGUGAAAAUAGAAGGCUAAUGAUUUAUUUAUUAUCUUUUGACAAAAUUAUUAAAGAUAUAAUAGAUUUUCUAUGAUACAAGUGAAAAAUCACAUCAACAUAGCUUUCAAUCUACAGCAGCUAGCGUUUACCAAACACUUUGUUGUAGCUUUUAAGCUAUAGCUGCCCAACCUCAAUCUCAAACGCACCCUUAAUAGGUUGAUUGAAUUUGUGAGAUAUGGAUUCCACAUAUCUCAUGACCUAGUAAUUAUACAAGUGGUUCGUGAUCAAGACACAACAUUUGCUUCCGGCCUAGUGACCCAGCAAUCGCUGCACUGGUCGCCACCUAUGGUGCCGACGAUAUUGCAUGGUCCAAUUGUGGCCUUGAAUGGAAAAAGUUGAGCAAAUUAUUUGUGGACACGAUGAUAAGUAACGCAAGCCUUGAUGCUAGUUAUGGUCAAAGAAAACAAGAGGUUAAGAAUACUAUCAGAGAUAUUCAUAACAACAAAAAGGAAAAAAAAAAGGCAUUUGCAAGCCCAUUGAUAUUGGUGAAUUGUCGAUUUCAACUUUGGCAUGUGUAAUCCAGAACCUGCGCGCUGUGGUAUGGCGCUGGCACGCUUGCAUUAACGAGGGGACAAGUCUUGGGGCUGAGCUAACAUUUAAGCUCGCAGAACUCAUGGUGCUAAUGGGAACACCAAAUAUUUUUUUGACAUAUUUUGGUGCUUUCAUGGUUUAAUUCAAGGUAUAGAAAGGAGUGUUGAGAAUGUCAAAUAAAACGGCAUUGAAUGGAAGUUGUCAAAGACACGAUCCGCACCGAACGGCAACGACACGGUUGCUAAAAAUCCUUCCAUAAUAUGCAUAUCUAAUUUUUUAAAAAGUGUAACCUCUGCAUUUAUAAAUAUACUCAAUGUAUAAUGUUUUACUUAAGAAAUGAAAAACUUGUUUGUUCAAGGAGAAUAAAGAAAAUUUUUCUAUGAUUUUUUUAUGGUUUGAACAAAGAAGGUUUUAAUGAGUAUUAUAGACCUCGAUUGAAUGUUCGAAUGUAUAAUAAAAGAGAAACUGUCACAUAAAUGACAAAGAUACUUGGAAAAAAAAAAAGGGCAGCAAUAGAGAAUUAGAUUCGACUGCACAAAUAACUAGUUAAUUCAUCAAUACAUCAUUUUCUUGCUAGAAAAUGACAAUUAUGACAGCAAGCCACGAUAGUGUCAAUAUUGAAAUUGAUUUGCAAUUAUUCAGCCAAUGUGCCUUACACGUCAAGAUAAAAGUCAAGAAAAUGAAAGUUAAUAUCAAUUAAAACACUUCCUGGGCCGCAUUUAGCUCCAGUUUUUGUGGUAGGAAAACAAAGUUUUGUUUUAAAUUCACAUGGUGUGCACUUCCUAUAUAAAUCUAGAGUUGUGUCCCACGUUGAACAAUAAAGGAAAGUCACCUAAAUAUACAUGUAGGAUAAGUUACUUUAUUUAGUAAGUUUGUAUUUUCUUCUUUCUUCUAGUUUACAUAUAAAUUUGAUUAGAUAACUUAACACAUAUUUUAAUACUUGAUCAGAAGCCCUACGUACAGGUGGAUCUAGAAACUUGAUUUCUAAGAGUAAUACUAUAAUAAAAAAAUAAUGAUUCAUAGAACCAAUAUCAAAAUUUGUUUACAAGAUUACCCCCACUCAAAGGUAAUUUUCAUAGAAAUUAAUAGGAAAUUUAAUUGUUAGUGGGGUCAAAUUGCCCCCACACUCUGAAUGUAGAUCCACGCCCGACCCUGAGUCAAGUAUAUUUUGCCACAUAUACUCUGAAUGUCGGCAGGAAAAAUCUUCCACUUUAGUUUAAAAUUUUCACUUAAAAUUUAUUUACGUUAAUAAAGUUGGUAAAGGAAAUGAGUUUAAUUAAAGAAUAUUAUAGGAGAAAUUCUAUUGUUUGGCUUUUAAUAAAUUAAUUAAUAGGUUUAAAAAGAUUAAUAUACAUCAAAAUAUUAUUAGUUGGUGGUGGUUCCACAUCGGACUAAGACGUGGCACCUUACUUGUGAGAUUAAGACAAUCAGGCUUAGACUAUUUAAAUAUGUUUGAAGCUUAGAUGGCACCGCUUCAAUUUGCAUUAAUGAAUGUCAUUCUUUACCCUAAUUACUACGUAAUUGAUAACAUGCAAUUGAAAUAACUAAUAUUAGCACUUGGCUAUAAAUGAACUAAAGGCCGUGCAAUUGAAUCUUUACUUGAUCACUUCAUUCCUUUAUUUUGCUAACACAGAUUUUGAGAUAUUAAAACGAAAUAAUAAUUGAAUCUGGCUUUGUGGGUCGAUGAUGCCAGCAACAACGAGACCACAAUUAUCACUUGUUUAUUUGCUGUAUUUGACGUUGUUUCAUAUUGGUAGUAAUAACUAAUAAGGUCGUUGUAGAGUUUUUAAUCUUUUUUUUUAUAUUAAUCACGAGGUAUCCUGGGGAGGGCCCCAACUGUGGGAGGCACCUUUAAGCUCGUACCACAACCCAGACUAGAAGUCCCCGCUCGAACCGGGAGGCACAGUUUUUAAUCUUUUUUAUAUUAAAGUUAAGUCAAUUUGUUAUAAAUAAAUAAAAAAUUGGUUGAGUUUAAUUAUAUUGCUAUGUACAUUAAAUAAUUAUAAUAUUCUCGAGGGAAAAAGACACCUAGAACCUCAAGGUUUGGGGAAAUGGUCACAAAAACUCCUAAGUUUUAAAAAAGGAACACUAAAAUCUUUUUUUACCCAUAAUACCCUUUGACUAUAGUAAUUAGAAAAUUGACUUUAAAGGUUUUUAAAUAAUACAAAUUUAAUAUAAAUCAUAUAAUCUAUCUAGUACACUAAUAAUAUUAAAUUAUUUUUUAUAUUUAAAAUAAUGUUAAAAAAUUUAAAUUAUUAUAUUUAUUUUAAUAAUAUAUUUAUAAAAUUAUAAAGAUUUUAAAUAAAUCUUUGGAUUGAAUAUAUUUUACAAUUAAAAGUCUUCCUAUUAAUAAUAUUAAAAUUAAAUUUUAAGUAAUAUAUAUUCAAAAUAUUUUUAAUUUAAUUUUAUUUAUUUUAAUAUUAUGUUUCUAUCUAUUAUUAAAAAUUACUUUAAUAUAAUAAAAUAGGUCUAAUAGAUUGAAAAAUAUGAAAAUAUUUUUAAAAUUUUAAAUUAUUUUGAAAUGUAUAUAUUAUUACAUUUAUUUCAAUGUCAUAUUUCCAUUUAUUAUAAAAUUUUGGGGUUAUUUUUUUGGGAAUUUAUAGAGUCAAAGAGCAUUAUGGUUAAAAAAGAGUCUUGGUGUCCCUUAUUGAAAACUUUAGAGUUUUUGUGACCAUUUUCCUAAAUCUUGGGGGUGUUGAAGUGGCACUUAUUGUAAGAUUGAUUUUAAAAUAUGUAAAAUUAAUUUUAUUACAUUACCAUAUGCUACAUCACCUGAAACUUAAUAAAUGGAACGUAGCAUUACUCCACGUUCACCGUUAUGACCUUAUGACAUUAGAAUUAAAAUCUUUCGUACGUUUAAAUUGUUUACUUCCAAAUUAAUCUUUCGUAAAUAUUUUGUACAGAUCUUAUCGGAGUUAGCGUGUUCAUUACAGUGUUUCUUUUCUUUUAUCCUUUCUUUUGAAACGUAUUUCCUGUGGACAAGGAAAGCAAAUAAUACCCUGCCACCAGGACCUCGCGGCUUGCCUGUAAUCGGAUACCUUCCAUUUCUCGGAAUUACUGACUUACACAAGACAUUCACGGAAUUAGCUGGUCUAUAUGGCCCGAUCUUCAAACUCUGGCUUGGCAACAAAUUGUGUGUAGUGGUUAGCUCGCCUUCAACUAGUUCUAUAAGAAUAUCCCUUUUAAGGGAUUCUCUCUCUGCAAAAUUUUUUUAUCUUCUGGUGCAUAAUAAAAACUUAUGCCACUUCAUUAACCACAGAUAUCUUUUGAGGAAACGAUGUUUCGUUUUCUUUUGUUUUUUCCUUCCUAAUCCUCGCAUAUCGUGUGAAGGCUAAUAUAUCCAAGAAUCUAAAUCUCUGUAAAUCUUUUUCUAUCCAAAUCUACAUAAUAAUUUAAUCCAUGCACAAUAUCUAUAAUUAUAUCGGCUGUCGGCUGAUUUCGUGGAGGGGGCGGCAGUUCAAAUUUUUUACGUGCAUGUUGGAUGGACGUCUCUAUUAAAGGAGAGCCACCACUUGCAUGGUAAUUUUUUUAAAUAAAUAUAUACAUUUCAAAAUAUUAUUUCAUUGUUGUAUAGUUAACAUGUCACCUUAGAUGUAUUUUAGAACUUCUCCUAUUAAAGAUAAUCUCAUGCAGUGAUACUUCUCGUGAUCUAAUCAUUAGUAGAAUCUAUAAUUUCGCUACUGUAAUAAAAUCUGUCCCUACCCUAUAUGAAUGUAGAUAUUUGACGCGAUUUGUAAUUGCUUCCGACAGGAAAACAGCAAUAGUUUAAUUGAAAUUUGUGGUAUGGAUUCCACGAAUCUUAUGACAGAAUACUGACCACUCCAACCCUAUCCACAUUUACACGAUUAAAACACAAGCUUAGAUGUGACAAUGCAUUUGUCACUUUUGUUCAAAUUCAUCCUGAAACACUAUACACUAAAUAAUCGAAUAUGGCUUCGUGGGUCGAUGAUGCUAGCAGCAACGAGACUGCAAUUAUCACUUGUUUUGUUGCUGUACUUGUCGUGGUCUAUUUCGCAUGGAAUGUAAACAAAUCAAGUAAAGCAAAUGCUAAAUUGCCACCAGGAUCUCGGGGCUUGCCAGUAGUCGGAUACCUCCCAUUUCUUGGAACUACUGACUUACACAAGACAUUCACGGAGUUAGCUGGAGUUUAUGGUCCGAUCUUCAAGAUUUGGCUUGGGAAUAAAUUGUGUGUAGUGGUGAGCUCGCCUACCCUAGUUAAACAAGUGGUCCGUGAUCAAGAUAUAACAUUCUCAAACCGCGACCCACCGAUCGCUGGAACUGUGACCACCUACGGUGGCAAUGAUAUUGCACUUUCCAAUUAUGGUCCCGAAUGGAAAAAGUUGCGAAAAUUAUUUGUGAGCAAGAUGAUGAGUAAUGCAACCCUUGAUGCUUGUUAUGCUCUAAGAAAACAAGAGGUUAAAAAUACUAUCAGGGAUUUGUACAACAACAAUAAGGAUAAUAUUGGCAGUGGCAAUGGCAAGCCCAUUGACGUUGGUGAAUUGUCGAUUUCAACUUUGGUACGUGUUAUGCAGAACAUGCUGUGGGGUCAAGCAUUGGAAACAAGAGAGAAAGAGAUUACUAAUCUCGGGGCUAAUCUUGCAGAACUCAUGGUGCUACUGGGAACACCAAAUAUUUCGGAUAUUUUUCCAGUGCUUUCAUUGCUUGACAUGCAAGGUAUAGAGAGAAGAGCUAAGAAGAUUUCUCUAUGGUUUGAAAACAUUAUCAAUUCUGGUGUUGAACAGUAUAGAAACAAGUUUUCUGUUGUUAAAGGUGAAGAAGCUGCAGCAGGAAAAAAUAUUGAACGAUCAAGAAAUAAGGACUUCUUGCAGUUACUGUUGGAGCUUCAGGAAAAUGAAGAUAGUGCUUCAUCUAUUAGCAUGAACCAACUAAAGGCCGUGCUCGUGGUAUGUUAAGCAACUAGACACAAAAAGUUGUAAAAGCACAGUGAUAUAUUUGCGCGAGGCCGCGAGUGAUGUUUUGCCUCGAGAACUCUCAAUUUUAUCUUACGGUAAAAAAUGUUUUUCAACUUUUUUUAAUUAGAAUUUUAUUGCAAUUUAUUUAACAGGACAUAAUUGUGGCCGGAACCGACACCACAACUACGAUGGUGGAAUGGACAAUGGCAGAGUUGAUGCAACAUCCACAAGUAAUGAAGAAAGUUCAAGAAGAAUUAGCUCAAGUUGUGGGCAUGGACAGUUGUGUUGAAGAAUAUCACUUGCCUAAAUUAAAUUAUUUAGAUGCUGUGGUGAAAGAAACAUUUCGUUUGCAUCCUGCGUUGCCCUUAUUGGUACCUCGCACGGCAAGCGAGAACAGCAAUAUUGGUGGCUAUACCAUUCCCAACGACACUAAUUUUAUGUUGAAUGUUUGGGCUAUUCACAGGGAUCCUCAACUUUGGGAUAAUCCCUUAGAUUUUCGACCUGAGAGGUUCUUGAAUGAUGAUAUCAUAAGCAAAUUCAAUUACUCGGGUAACAAUUUUCAGUACUUGCCAUUUGGUUCUGGUAGAAGGAUGUGCGCUGGCAUUCCUCUAGCUGAGAGGAUGUUGAUGCUUGUUCUGGCUUCGUUGUUGCACUUGUUUGAGUGGAAAUUGCCCCCGGGCACAAAGCUAGACUUAGCUGAAAAGUAUGGGAUUGUCAUGCGGAAAAAAGAGCCUCUGAUUGCUAUUCCAACACCAAGGCUACCAAAUUCAGAUCUCUACCAGUAAGAUCAAAAUGGUUGUGAUGAUAUUAUUUCCCAUUGUAUUGGAAUAUUUUUGUGUGAUUUGAAGUUCAAUCAUAAUAAAAUAUUUUAAUAAAAUGUCCUCGGUUGCUAAUUUUUCAAUAGUAUACUCUAUCAUCGUUUCUAACUGUCUUUUAGAGCCAUUUGGUCUAAUUUAUUUUUGAAUUAAAAUCCAUAAAUAUUUAAAUUUUUGAAUCAUAUUAAGAAUUAUCUGGAGUGUAUGGUCUGAUCUUCAAGUUCUGGCUUGUAAACAAAUUAGAGUUCUGAUAUUUGCCCCGGGUCAAACCCCGAAAUUAAAUAAAACGGCGUCGUUUUGUUUUUUUUUUUUUUUUUUUCUUUUUUACUUCUUCCAAACGUUGCCAUUUCACUUGUCAUUUGCAAGUGACUCCAUUGAUCCUUAGUUGAAACAGAGUUACACCGUAAAUCUCUUCCUCUUCGUUUCUUCGUUUCACCAGGGAACGAGACAGAUAAAAUCCAGCCAUUCUUCGACAUAACAAGAUAUCGAUUAGAAUCCAACGACAUAACUAUAAACCAUGACAUUGCGCUUGAUUUUGCGAAAUACCGAUUAAGAACCAGUAACUUUGAAUCCAAUGACCGUUAAGAGUUUGAAAUUGGUUUCAAAUGACUAAUGAGUUAUCAGAUUUCUUUGCGUCUACAUUUUCCUUGAAGGUUUCUCAGCAGCCAAACAAAUACAAAGCAAAUUGCAGAAGAAACACAUUUUGUUCCAAUGAAAAAUGUACGGAAACAUUUUAAAUAUGGAAAAUUACCUCAAAAUGAAGGCUCGCAAGAGAUUCGAGCAACAAAUUAGAUCAAAGGAACCGGCGCUGAGCAAGAAAGUGAGCUCAAAGAUUCCGAAACACAAACGUAAAUUCACAAAAAUGCAAAUCUAUGAUGAACGCCAAGAUCAAAAUUUUCGAAGAAAGGGAGCUGAAAAAAUAAAUGAAACGUCAAACUAGAUGACAAUGGAUUUGCUUCUUCAAAGGAGACAAUGAAAUUGUUACUAGAGACAGCUAGAGAAAUAGAGAGAGAGAGAGAGAGAGCUUGAAUUGGCUGUACCCCCACCAGAAAGUGGGUAGUGCCUUUUCCACUUGGACUUGAUAUGCGAAUCUGAAAAAAUCUGAACGAAGGACUGACUCAUCCCAGCUCGAAAGCAAACCAAGCUAGGACUGACUGAAAACGUUGCCGUUUGGAGAAGUUAAAAAAAAAAACUAAACAAAACGACGCCGUUUUGUUUAGUUUCGGGGUUUGACCCGGAAUUUGACCCGGGGCAAACAUCAUUUUCCAACAAAUUAUGCAUGGUCGUGUACACGCUUUCCCUAAUUAAGCAUGAGGUUCGUGAUCAAGGCACAACAUUCACUCCCUGCGACCCAACAAUCGCUACAUUGUUUGCCACCUAUAGUGCCAACGAUUUUGCACGGUCCAAUUAUGGUCCCCAAUCGAAAACGUUGCGCAAAUGUUUUCUGGGCAAGAUGAUAAGUAACGCAAGCCUUGAUGCUUGUUAUGGUCUAAGAAAACAAGAGGUUAAUAUAUAUAUAUAUAUAUAUAUAUAUAUAUAUAUAUAUAUAUAUAAAUUGGCAUUGUCAACUUUUGUAUGUUUUAUUCAGAACCCGCUGUGGGUUGACGCUAGCAUGCUUGCGUUAGGAGACGAGGGGACCAAUCUUGGGGCUGAGCUAAAAUAUAAGCUUGUAGAGAUCAUCUUGCUAAUGGUAAUGUUUUCCGAUGCUGGUUUAAUUCAUGGUAUAAAAAGGAGAACAAAAAAGAUUUUUCUAUGCUUUGAAAAUAUUAUAAUUUUUAUUUUAUAAUUUUUAAUAAAAUCUCUCAUUGAUAGCCAAACAAUUAAAAUUUUUGUAAAGCUUUUGUGGACUUUUGAUCGCGUAUGGUGCCAAUGUAUUGCGUGGUCCUAUUAUGGUUCCAAAUGGAGAAAGUUGCACAAGUUUUUUGAGUACCAGAAGAUCAGUAAUGUAAGCCUUGAUGGUUGUUAUGGUCUAAGAAAACAAGAGGCUAAAAAUUCUAUCUGGGAUUUUUAUAACAACAACAAAAUUGGCAAGCCCAUUGACAUUGGUGAAUUGUCAGUUUCAACCUUGGUAAGUGCGAUUCAGAACAUGCUGUGGGGUGAAACGCUUGAAAUAACAAAGAAAUGGAUUUACUAAUAUUGGGGCUGGGCUAAGAUUUAAGCUUGCAGAACUCACGGUGCUAGAGGGAACACCGAAUAUUUUGGAUAUCUUUCCAGUGCUUUCAUGGUUUAAUAUACAAGGUUUUCAGAGAAUAGCAAAGAAGAUUUCUCUAUGGUUUUAAAAUAUUAUCAAUUCUACUGCUGAACGCUAUAGAAACAACGUCUCUAUUGUCAAAAGUGAAGAAGCAGCAGCAGCAGGGAACAAUAUUGAAGGAAGGAAUAAGGACUUGGUGCAGUUACGCUUGGAGCUUCAAGGUAAAGAAGACAAUGCUUCAUCAAUUAGCAGGACGCAAUUUAAGAGCUUGCUCGUGGUAUGUUGCGCAACUAGCCACAGACAGUUACAGAAACUGAGUUUGGCAGAUUACGACCGUUUCUGGUGAUUACAUAAUUAUUUGUGGCUGUUUUUUUUUUUUAAUUGUAAUUUUCUUAACAGGAUAUAAUUUAGGGUGGAACCAACACCACAACUAUAAUGGUGGAAUGGACAAUGGCAUAAUUGAUACAGCAUCCACAAGUAAUAGAGAAUGUACAGGUAGAACUAAAUCGGGCCGUGGCCAUCGACAGCCAUGUUGAAGAAUUUCACCUAGCUAAGUUAAAAUAUUUAGAUGCUGUGGUGAAAGAAACAUUCUGCACUGUAAUAUAAUACAUGAAUCAUAUGUCCUCUAUUGUUUUUUUAUUUUUCUCUUUUUUUCAAUAGCUUAAUCUAUCAUUAAAAUCUUCUGAAAUUCUAAAUUAAUAUACAUUCAACCUAGAGUUCAAGCCAAAGUUUUAUUGAGCAUUAAAAAAAAAAAAAAUUCUACGACUCAAAAUUUUGUGGAGUAUAAAUUAAAAAUUAUGCGCCUACUAAGAGACAAAAAAUAAAUGAUACACAUUAACCAAUCAAAGGCGAACAAGAGAUUAUUAACAAUAACCUAAUAAUAAAAUUAUAAUGAAUAAAAAAGAAAUGGUACCUAGAAACACAUCACAGCCAUUUAAGCAAUCACUUACCCACAAAAUCCAAACAUAUAAACUAUGUGGGGGGGGGGGGGGGGGGGGGGGGUGUCAUGAUACCUUUGGGUUUCAUGAUAAUCAAAAUUGCAAUACCAUUAAAGACUCAAAAAUAAAAAAAAUCAUAGCCAAUAAAAGAGAAAAAAUAACCCACAAAAAAUCAUCAAGAAAAUAAAUUUGAGACUAAGAGAAGAUAUUAAUUAAACCCUGGGUUGCCUUGGAACCACGGCUUUGGCUUCCAUUUUUCAAUUCUUGGCGACAAGUCAUUUCUUGUUUGUUUACAAAGAUGACGGCUGAUUAAUGAAGCUCUAUUAACAAUGAAUAAAUAAAAAAACUGGCGCCUUGAAAAGACUAACGGUCAUAUUUUUCAACUCCGAAUUAGUGCCGUUUGAUGAGUCCUUGCCAAAACAAUCACUAGGCAAAUAACAAUCAUUUUUCAACCAGCAAAACUCAUUCAUUGUAUUUCACCUUAGUCAAGAUUUAAAAAUUGUUUCAAAAUAAACCUAGUGGUUAGAACCCAAGCGUCACAAUUGUGAGGUCAUGGGUUUGAGCCCCCACAACGUAUUGUGGGGGUUAAUUUUCUUCUUCAAUUUGAGUGAAAACAGUUCUCUCCCUUUCGAAAUGUGGGUGGAGUGGACGUCCCUCAAAUAUUAGAGAGGGUUCAAAUUUGGAUUGUACUAUAUAAGAUUUAUAAAUUAGUCCCAGUAAUUAUCUGAUUGUAAAUAUCAAUAUACUAAUCUAAUUAAAUAUGAGUUGUAAUAUGAGCGUUAGUCUCAUGUAAUUAAAAAAAAAAUGUUUCAAAAUAGGAUUCUUAAAAGGUUGGGGAAAUGGCCAUCAAUAUCCCCAACUUUCCAAAAAGAGACACCAAGACCCAUUUUGACCAUAAUACCCUUUACUUCUAUUAUCCCCAAAAAAUUGACUCUAAUGUUUUAUAAUAAAUAAAAAUAUAACAUUAAAAUAAAUGUAAUAGUAUAUACAUUUUAAAAUAGUUUCAAUAUCUAAAAACCAUUUUAAUAUUUUAAAUCCUAUUAUAUAUAUAUUAAAGUAAAUUUUAUAAUAAAUAGAAUCAUAAUAUUGAAAUAAAUGCAUUAAAAUUUAAAUUAUUUUUAAUAUUAUGUAAAAUAAUAAUUUUAUCAUUAUAAGUAUAUGAGAAUUUUUUUAAUUGUAGAAUGUAUUUAAUGCAAAUAUUUAUUUAAAAUCUCUACAAUAAAUAAAAAUAUACUAUUAAAACAAAUCUCUACAAUAUAUACAUACAUACAUAUACAUUGGCCUGGUAUUUUAUUUUUCAUUUUUUAAACUUAUUAAAUCCUCUAACUAUCAUUUGAUUAUUUUUUUCAAUGAUGAAGAGGCCAUUGCCGGAUAAAUUAUUAAAAUCAACUAGUUCUACAAGAAUGUCCCUUUUUAAAGGAAGAUGAUUCUCUCUCUCGAAAUUUUUUAUCUUGUGCUACAAACUAAAAACUUAUGCCAUUUCAUUAACCACAGAGAUCUUUGAGGAAAUGAUGCUUCGCCCCCCCCCCCCCCCCCCCCCCCCCCCCCCCCCCCCCGCGGCGCCAAAAAGUGUCCUUCCAUAUUUUGUGAAGGCUAAUACAUCGAUGAAUCUAGAUUUCUUUAAAUUUUUUGUUUUACUCAAUUCGAGAUAAUAAAUAGUUUAUCUUUAUUAAAUCUUUACUUUAACAAUGAUAGAUAUUCAAUCCAUGCAAAUAUCUAUCAUUGUAUGAGCUGAUUGCGUGGAGGGAGCGGUAAUUGAAAUCUAAUUGAAAACAGCAGAAGGCUGUUCUUGACAGAUCUCAAAUAUAUUACGGACACGUUGGGAGACAUCUCUAUCAUAGAUAUCCCCAUGCAGUGAUAUUUGUCGUGAUCUAAUUUUUAGUAAAUCUGUAAGAGAGAUUGUAACAUCUUUCAAGUUUUUUGGUUUGAUAUUCUAGACGAAAACGGUUUGUCGUUUCUUGAGCAAACGGCUAACCGUUUAAGUCCAGAGAGCAUGUUUGUUGUUCUGGAUAAAACGGCUCACCGUUGUUGCGAAAACGGCUAACCGUUUAACUCAAGAGAGCAUGUUUUAUGUUCUAGAGAAAACGGCUCACCGUUAUUGAGAAAACGGCUAACCGUUUAUUUACAGAGAGCAACGUAUUUGAUAUUCUGGAAUAAAAUGGCUCACCAUUUAUUGAGAAAACGGCUAACUGUUUAUUUCCAGAAAGGCGUCAAUUAGAAAAACGGUUAGCAAGAAUGAAAAUUUCAAUUGACAAUCGAUGCAAAUUCAAACCAAAAGAGUGUCUUCGAAAAAGUACCAUUUCUAAUGGUUGUAUUCUUUCAAAUAAACAUCUUCUUCAUUAAAGAAAUACACACAAUUAGAUUGAUAAUCAGAUUUUGACAGGUUUCUUAUAUGUUCUGGAAAUACAAUCUUAUUUGCUAGAGAUUGUAUUCAGGAUUUGUUAUAUCUUGGGGGUAAUUUGCCAUUAAAACUAUAUAGCAAACCAAGAUUGGUGAGGGCAAAUAAAACCUUAAAGGAAAGUAUGCAAACACGUCUCAAAUCCUAUGAAACUUUCUUUGUUCUUUGCCUCCAUAUUCUUAUUAUUCACUAACAAAAUCCCCAUGCAGUGAUAUUUGUCGUGAUCUAAUUAUUAGAAAAAUCUAUGAUUUCGCUACUGUAAUAAAAUUUGUCACUACUCUACAUUAAUCUAAAUGUCUGAUGAGAUUUGUAAUUGCUUCCGACGGGAAAACAGUUAAUAGGUUGAUUGAAUGUAUGUGGUAAAGAUUCCACGUAUCUCACGACAGAAUGCUGACCACUGGAACCCUAUCUACUUUUACGCGAUUAAUUCACGAGCUUAGGCACGACAAUUGCAAUACAAAUUAUCCCUUCAUCAUAUAUUUCGUUAAAAUUCAUUCUGAAGCACUAAAACUAAACAAUCGAAUAUGGCUUUGAGGGUCGAUGAUGCCAGCAGCAAUGAGAGUGCAAUUAUCACUUGUUUAGUUUCUGUGCUUGCCGUGGCUUAUUUAGCAUGGAAUGUGAAAAAAUCAAGGAAAGCAAAUGCUAAACUGCCACCAGGACCUCGCGGCUUGCCUGUAGUCGGAUACCUCCCAUUUCUCGGGACUACUGACUUGCACAAGAAAUUCACGGAAUUUAUUUUACUAUUAUAUUUAUAUUCAAAAUAAUUUUAAUUAGCUUUUAAAAUGAAUGAUUUUAGGAAAUUAUAAAUAAAGGUAACUAAGAAUUCUCUUAAUGUAAUAUAUUAUUAAUUAGUUUAAAAAUACAAAUUUAUUAAUUAGAGAAAUUAUUAGUGAAUUUAAAUUAAUGAUCUUAAUGAUUUGUUUGUACGAUUGCCCCCAAUCAAAGGUAAUUUUCCUAAAAAUUAUUAGGAAAUUAGAGAAAUUUAAUUUUUUUAGUGGGUUCAAUUGCCCACACACCCCGACUGAAGCAUUUUUUACAAUAUGUACUCCGUUUGUCGGCAGGAAAAUAAAGGUCUUGACACAUGAUCACUUCACUCCUUUAUUUACUUUGCUAACGCAGAUUUUGAGGUAUUAAAACAAAUAAUAAUUGAAUAUGACUUUGUGGGUCGACGACGCCAGCAACGAGGAGACCGCCAAUUAUCACAUUUUAAGUUUGCUGUAAUUGCCGUUGUUUUAUAUUAGUAGAAUAUUAGUGAUAAGAUAAUUGUAGAGUUUUCAUUUUUUUAAUAUUAAAAUCAAGUCAAUUUAUUAUAAUAAAUUUAGUUGAAUUUAAUCGUAUUACCACAUAAAUUGAAUAAUAAUAGAAUUCUCGACAAUAUUUCAAUAUUUUAAUCUCAAGCAUUGGAGUGGCAUUUAUUUGUUAUACGGUCGAUUUUAGAAUUUAUAAAAUUAUUCGUUGCUGAAUUGCACCAUAUGCUGCAUAACCUGAAACUUAAUAAACGGAACGUAGCGUUGGCACCGUUACUCAACAUUCACUGUUACGACUUUGUGACAUUAGAAUUAAAAUCUUUUCCACAUUUAAUUUGUUUACUUCCAACUUAAUAUUUAACAAAAUGUAUGUUAGCAUUGUAUGCCAUAUCAUCUGUAAUUUUGUCAGGAUCGAUCAUUCUAAUUUUUAAGCAGAACUUUUUGUCAAUGGACAAACACCUCAUACAGCUUGUCAGAGGCAUUAGUAUGAUGUAAAAUUGUAAUGGUAUAUCUUGAAUUAUUUUAGAAUAGUGAAUAACUAUUUGGAGCAAUAAAAACAAAUAAGACAGAUGAGAAAAUGGCUAAAAUUAUAUAAGUGACCCAAAAUUUUUUGCUAUUUCCAAGAAAUCCCCAAUCUGAAUGGACCAGAGGGAGGCAAGUUAGAAAUACAUUUCCUUCAUAGACAAUAACAACGAUGAGUGGAUGACAUCAAACCACGUUGGUAUCAAUAUUGAAAUAAAGGUGCAAUUAUUCAGCCAAUGAGCCUUAGUACACAUCAAGAUAUAUAAAAGUCAAGAAAAUGAAAAUUUAUCCCAAUUAAAACUCUUUCUGGCUGCAUUUAGCUGUUUCUGUUUAGGGAUGGCAAUUUAAUCCGGACCCAGCCCGACCCGGAUGAAUCCAGAAAAUUCGGGGUGGAUUCAACCCGUACCGGAGUGAAUAAAAUCUGAUAUUCAAAUUCAAUAUUUUCAACCCGGACGUUUCCGAGUCCGGAUCCGGAUUUGGGUAAACCCGCAUAUCCGGAACCCGGAUCCGGAUAACUAUUUUAAUAUUAAUUUUUAAAUCAUUUUAAAAUAAAAAAAAAUUAGAAAAAAUCAGCCCUAAUGCCCUUCCACAGCCACGGCAGCCAAACCAAACCCAGACAUUUCCUCUCUCUCUCUUUAGCCCUUCUUUUCAACAAAUCAUCAUCGUUGCUCAUCAUCGUUUCGUCGUGUUCAUCUUCAUCUUCAUCAUCAGCUGCCGUUUGUCCAGCUAUGUCACUAGUUUUGGCCGCCGUUUCCGUUUGUGCACCUUCGCAAAUCGGGAUCUCGAUUUGGCCGCCAACACUUCUACCCCCUGGUGUUUUGCUUUGUCCUCGACAACUUCUUUGUUGAUAAAUUGACGGGCACUUAUGAAUGCAUUUGUCUCUGUUUCUUCAUUUACACCUUCCCAGUUGUUUGUUCAUUUGCUUUUUGGAAGGAAAAAAAAAAAAAAUCAGCCACCAUUUAUCCUUCCCCUUUUCUUGACCUAACCCCACAAAGCCCAAUUUGUCAUCAUCAUUCAUUGGCAAAUUUGUUAUCAUCAUGGUUGAGACAUCAUGAUUAUCUUUGAUAAUUGAAUUUGUGUAAUAUGUUACCUUGGAUUUUAUUUCUAAGUAUUUGAUUUUGAAUUAUUUUCCAUUAUUGGUGUUAAUAGAUAGAAGAUUAGAAAGGAAUUCUUCACUGAAUAAAGAGAUGGGAAAUUGCAUCUUUUAGCAAUCAUCCGGGUUAUAAACCCGGAAUCCGGAAACCAGGAUUUUUCCGGGUUUAACCCAGUCCGGACCCGAAUGAAAAAUAUCCGGGUUUACAUCCGGGUCUGGUAUUAAAAUUUAUCGUCCGGAUCCGGAACAGGGAAGACAAAACCCGGACCCGAACCCACAUUUUGCCAUCCCUAUUUCCAUUUGAAGUUAACAACAACGUUUCUUUCGUUUUGUGGGCGACUUGACUGAGCCAGCUGGAUUCUAGUGCUAGUAUGUGAAAAUAGAAGGCUAAUGAUUUCACGUUCACUAGCCCACCUCCCCUCCUCUCGUUUCCUCUGAAUCAAUUUUCACGUGUGGUACCGAUUGAAAAUAUCUCUGACAUUUCGUGGACAUCUCUAUUGAAAAUAUCUCAGACAUUUCACUCAGGCAAACUUAUUAAUAUAAAAAAUCUAUGAUUUUUUCGUCUUAUACUGUAGAAAAAUUUGUCUAUACAUUAAUCUAGAUGUUUGAGGUGGUUUAUACAUCUGUGGUAUAGAUUUAUAGGUUGAUUGAUACGUCUGUGGUAUAGAUUUUAUGUAUUUCAUUAUCAAAUGCUGGCCUUUGGGACCCUAUCUACAUCUAUUUAUAAAACUAACGGGUGCCAGUUAUGCCAUUACAAAUUAUCCCCUCUUCAUACAUUUCCUUAAAAUUCUUCUGAAACACCAAAACUAAAUAAUCGAAUAUGGCUUUGCGGGUCGAUGAUGCCAGCAACAAUGAGGCUGCAAUUAUCACUUGUUUAGUUUCUAUGCUUGCCGUGGUUUAUUUCGUAUGGAAUGUGAACAAAUCAAGGAAAGCAAAUGCUAAACUGCCACCAGGACCUCGCGGUUUGCCUGUAGUCGGAUACCUCCCAUUUCUCGGAACUACUGACUUGCACAAGAAAUUCACGGAAUUAUCCGGAGUUUAUGGUCCGAUCUUCAAGCUCUGGCUCGGAAAUAAAUUAAGUGUCGUGGUGAGCUCACCUUCCCUAGUUAAACAAGUGGUUCGUGAUCAAGAUACAACAUUCGCAGACCGUGACCCGCCGAUCUCAGGACUAGUGACCUCCUUUGGUGGCAAUGAUAUUACAUGGUCCAAUUACGGUCCCGAAUGGAGAAAGUUGCGCAAAUUUUUUGUGGGCAAGAUGAUGAGUAACGCAAGCCUUGAUGCUUGUUAUGCUUUAAGAAAACAUGAGGUUAAAAAUACUAUCAGGGAUUUGUAUAACAACGGCAACAAAAUUGGUAAGCCCAUUGACAUUGGUGAAUUGUCGAUUUCAACAUUGGUAUGUGCUAUGCAGAACAUGCUGUGGGGUGAAGCGCUUGAAUUAAAAGAGAAAGGGACAACUAAUCUUGGGGUUGAGCUAAAAUUUAAGUUUGCAGAACUCAUGGUGCUACUGGGAACACCGAAUAUUUCGGAUAUCUUUCCAAUGCUUUCUUGGCUCGACAUACAAGGUAUAGAGAGGAGAGCAAAGAAGAUUUCACUCUGGUUUGAAAAAAUUAUAAAUUCUACUGUUGAAAAGUAUAGAAGCAAGGACUUUAAUGUUGAAGGUAAAGAAAGAGCAGGGGAAAAUUUUGAAGGAUCAAGGAACAAGAACUUCUUGCAGUUACUAUUGGAGCUUCAAGAAAAUGAAGACGGUUCUUCCUCAAUUAGCAUGAACCAAUUUAAGGCCGUACUCGUGGUAUGUUAAGAAACUAGCCGCAAACAGUUAUACAAGCACAGCUGUAUAUUUUGCAUGAGUGAUAUUUUCAACCUUUUUUUUUUAUAAUUAGAAUUUUAUUGUAACCUUUUGGACAGGAUAUAAUUACGGCUGGAACCGACACCACAACUACGAUGGUGGAAUGGACAAUGGCAGAGUUGAUGCAGCAUCCACAAAUAAUGAAGAAAGUUCAGGAAGAAUUAGCUCAAGUUGUGGGCAUGGACAGUUGUGUUGAAGAAUUUCAUUUGCCUAAAUUGAAAUAUUUAGAUGCUGUGGUGAAAGAAUCGUCUCGUCUGCAUCCUGCAGUGCCUUUAUUACUACCACGCAGAGCAAGCGAGAGUGGCAGCAUUGGUGGCUAUAACAUUCCCAAAGAUACAACUAUUAUGUUGAAUGUUUGGGCAAUCCACAGGGACCCUAAACUUUGGGAUAAUCCCUUAGAAUUUCGACCCGAGAGGUUUCUAGAUGAUGGUAUCGCGAGUAAGUUCGAUUACUCAGGUAACAAUUUUCAGUACUUGCCAUUUGGUUCUGGUAGAAGGAUGUGUGCUGGGAUUCCUCUAGCUGAGAGGAUGCUGAUGUUUGUUUUGGCUUCGUUAUUGCACUCAUUUGAGUGGGAAUUGCCAGCUGGCACAAAGCUAAACUUAUCUGAAAAAUUUGGGAUUGUCAUUAAGAAAAAAGAGCCUUUAGUUGCUAUUCCAACACCAAGACUAUCCAAUUCAGAGCUCUACCAUUAAGACAGAAUGGUUGUGAUGAUUUUGUUAAUUUCCGAAGAUUUGUAUGUUAUGUCAAGUUCAAUCGUAAUAAAAUAUUUCAAAUAAGAGUCCUCCGUUGCUUUUUUUUUUUUUUUCAACCGCAUAAUCUGUCGUCAUGCUUGUAUUUGGGGCUACUUUGGAAUAAUUAUGUUUGAAUUACAAUAUAUAAAUAUUACAUUUUAAAAUUUUAUGAGAUUCUAAAUUUAUACACGUUCAAUAACCCACUUCAUAUAUGUUUAACACAAUUUAUAUCAUACAUUGUAUACCCAUUUGUCAUAAAUUACGCUAUUUUAUAUCUCUAAAUAAUAUUACAUAUUGAUAUUAUAAAAUGUUGUUAACUCACGUGUGUAUAUAUAUAUAGCAAGUCACGUGCAUAUAUUAUUGGUUGUUAUAUGUUUGCUAGUUUGAUAGGAUUUCCUUUCCUUGUGAACUAGGGUAAUUCUUAUGUACAUAUAAAUAUUGAUCAAUAAGAGUGCAGAUGAUGACUGCAGUUUUGCAUCGUAGAAAUUCUUCGUAAAAUAUAUAUGUUUAUCAAAAGGCUAUACCAUUCAAUAUAUAUUGGAAAGAGAACAAAGAAGAUCUUCUUAUGGUUUGAAAAUAUUAUGAAUUCUGCUGUUGAACAGUAUGGAAACAAGGUCUGUUGUUAAAGGUGAAGAAGUCACAGGGAACAAUAUUGAAGGAAGAAAUUUCACGUUUAGUUGCUGAAUUUGCCGCUGUAUUCUAUCGGUAGUAAAAAGAUUAGAGUUUUUAUUUUUCUCUAUUAAUGUUAAGUCAAUUUUCUAUAACAAAUUCGGUUGAGUUUAAUUGUGUUACAAUAUAAAUUGAAUGAUAGUAGAAUUUUCAACGAAUAAUUCAAUAUUUCUAUCUCGAUUGUUGAAGUGCCAUUUAUUUGUUAUACGAUCGAUUUUAAAAUUUAUAAAAUUAUUUGUUACUAAAUUGCAUCAUAUGCUAAAUCACCUGAAACCUAAUUUCAUAACUAACCCUUUAUUUUUAGUUCUCAAGAAAUCUUGUAAGAACAAAAUUCUUUUGUAACAAAACGUUUACAACAAAUUAAUUUGUAACUCAUUCCUGUGCGAGAAUCACUCUCAAUUUCCUUCAAUUGCUGUUUAACAAUCAUCUGCUUAUCAAAAUUCAAGCAUAAUCUUUUUUUUUAAUUUCUUCAUCAUUCUUUUGAAAAAAAAAAUCAGGAUAUGCUGUUAAAUUUUGAAAUAAAUUAUCUCAAAAUAAUUACUAACCAGAAAAAACAAAGGGGUUUAACUAGGUUAUGCAUACCUUUGAAAAUUAUAUGUUGAUCGAUAAGAAUGAUGAUCACGAUUGACGAGUUUAAUUAAAAUAUAUAAGAUUUUAAAAUUAAUCAGGGUUAAAUUGUGAAUUUUAGAAAGAGAGGUUUUGUGAGAAUGUUGAAAGGGUGUUAAUAGUUCCACUCUUUUUAAAAACAACCAUAGUCAUCAUUUUUCCAUGGUUGUUUUUAAAAAGAGUAUUUCUUCUUCCCAUCUCCAUCUUAUUUAGAAAUUUCCCAGAGCCUUUGUUUCCCACCUUUCAUUUUUCUUCUUUCUAAUUUAAUAAUCCACCCUUCUUGUAUUCAAACUAAAAAAUUAAAAUCUGAAAAUUUAAAACCCAAUAUUAUAGUAUUAUAAAAAUAAUUACUCACAUUUUAUCAAACACCUCCAUUCUUCCAAGGCCUUGUUUUAGUAGUAGGCUUUUAUUAUCUCAAUAAAAUUGAAAAAAAAAAUCUCAAUAAUAUUGGAAAAAAACCCUACCCAUAUUUGUAACUUUAAUUUAUUAUUCUCCAUAGACCUACUUUUUAGUUUUGAAUUUUGUUGGAGCCAUAUAUAAACAGAAUAUGUUGAAAUCAGCACCCAAAAAAAAAAAAACUAAUUAUAUAAUUUAUGUUCCCAAGGACAUGGCUGAGUGAUUUUCAAGAAGUUUUGUUUGGCUGGCCACUUAGGUUUAAAUCUUGGUGGAGAUUAAGGGUUAAGAAAUAAAUUUAGACUUUGCACACCCCUUUAACUUUUAAAAAGAAAUGAAAAAAUUAAUUAAUUAAUCUUUAUUUUAUUUAUUAAAUGUCAUAAUCCUAUGCGUAUUUUAUUUGUUAUCUUUCUAUUUAAAAGACGAGGGCAGAUAAAACUGAAAUAAAUUUUUAGCCCUAUCUCCAUAUUUCAAGUUCCAUAGUUAGGUGACCAGCUAAAAAAAAUUAAUUGAAAGCUACUCCAUCAAAUUAAAAAAAUUUAUUUAUUUAAUUUGUGGAGAUGUAGAAAAUCAAACCCCAUACCUUUUCGCAUACACUGAACAUAUUUUAAUACAUGACUAUCAUCCUUUAUCCUAAAUACUACUAUAACUAAUAACAUACAAUUGAAAUAAUUAAUGUUAACACUUGGCUAUAAAUAAAGGUUUUGUGCUUGAAUCUUCACGCAUGACCUUCAUUCCUUUAUUGACUUUGCUAACACAGAUUUUGAGGCAUUAAAACUAAAUAAUAAUUGACUUUGUGGGCCGAGGAUGCCAGCAACAAGGAGACCACAAUUAUCACUUAAGUUACUCUAAUUGCCGUUGUCUUAUAUUCAUAGAAUAUUAGUAAUAAGAUUAUUGCAGAAUUUUUUUAAUAUUAAAAUUAAGUCAAUUUGUUAUAACAAAUUUAGUUGAGUUUAAUCGUGUUACUACAUAAAUUGAAUAAUAAUAGAAUUCUCGACAAAUAUUUCAAUAUUUUUAUCCCAAGCGUUGGAGUGGCAUUUAUUUGUUAUACGAUCGAUUUUAGAACUUAUAAAAUUAUUCGUUACUGAAUUGCACCAUAUGCUGCAUGACCUGAAACUUAAUAAACGGAAUGUAGCGUUGGCACCGUUACUCAACAUACUGUUACGACUUUGUGACAUUAGAAUUAAAAUCUUUUGCACAUUUAAUUUGUUUACUUCAAAAUUAAUAUUUAACAAAAUAUUUUUUUCACAUUAUCAAUGGACAAAACUCCAACGAAAAUAACUACACAAGAAAAAUGUAUGCUAGUAUUGUGUGCCAUAUCAUCUGUAAUUUUGUCAGGAUCGAACACUCUAAUUUUUAAGCAGAACUUUUUAUCAAUGGACAAACACCUCACACAGCUUGUCAGAGGCAUUAUUAUGAUAGAAAACUGUAAUGGUAUAUCUUGAAUUAUUGGUAGAAUAGUUCUUUGGAGCAAUAAAAAUAGAUAAGACAGAUGAGAAAAUUGUCAAUACCCCACCGCAAAAGCAAAAGAAAAAAAGGAAAGGAGACAAAAGAGGAAGAAGAAAAAAAGGAAAGGAGACAAAAGAGGAAGAAGAAAAAGAAAAAAGAACGAAGAAAAAAAUGGUGCCGCGCUGUAUUGGGAAGAAGAAAAAAAUUAAUAAAAUAAUAAUAAAUAAUAAAUAAUAAAUAAUAAAAUAAUAGUGCACAACAAUCAUUUGAUUGCUAUAAAUAAAGGGGCAUUUUCCUCAUUUUAUUCAUCGAAUUCUUCAGUUCCUUUCAAGCGAUUUAAGAGUCUAGUGAUUUGAGAGUUUGGGAGUAUUGUGAUUUUGAGUACUAAGUUAAAAUACUAUAAUACUUGUAACUCAUUUUCACUAGUAAAAUAUUUUUCUUCUGUCUUCGCCCGUAGACGUAGGCUAAAAGCUGAACCACGUAAUUUCUGGUGUCCCUAUGUGAUUAUGUGUCUCAUUAUUUCUCAAUUUUACUUUAGUUACGUGUCUGCUACACCCUUCAAUUUACUAACAAAAAUGGCCAAAAUUAUAUAAGUGACCCAAAUUUUUUUGCUAUUUCCAAGAAAUCCCCAAUCGGAAUAGACCAAACUAGAGGGAGGCAAGUUAGAAAUACGUUUCCUUCAUAAACAAUAACAGCGAUGAGUCGAUGACAUCGAGCCACGUCGGUAUCAAUAUUGAAUUAAAGGUGCAAUUAUUCAGCCAAUGAGCCUUACACAUCAAGAUAAAAGUCAAGAAAAUGAAAAAUUUAUCCUAAUUAAAACACUUUCUGGCUGCAUUUAGCUGUUUCUAUUUGAAGUUAAAAACAACAUUUCUUUCGUUUUGUGGGCAACUCGACUGAGUUCGCUGGCUUCUAGUGCUAGUAUGUGAAAAUAGAAGGCUAAUGAUUUAUUUGUUAUCUUUUGACAAAAAAUGUUAAAGAUAUAAUAGAUUUUCCAUGAUACAAAUGAAAAAUUAUAUCAACAUAACUUCCAAGCUACAGCAGCUAGUGUUUACCAAACACUUUGCUGUAGCUUUUAAGCUACAGCUGCCCAACCUCAAUAGGUUGAUUGAAUUUGUGGGAUAUAGAUUCCACAUAUCUCAUGACCUAUUAAUUAUACAAGUGGUUCUUGAUCAAGAACAACAUUUGCUUCCGACCCAGUAACCCAGCAACUGCUGCACUGGUCGCCACCUAUGGUGCCGACGAUAUUGCAUGGUCCAAUUAUGGCCUUGAAUGGAAAAAGUUGAGCAAAUUAUUUGUGGGCACGAUGAUAAGUAACGCAAGCCUUGAUGCUAGUUAUGGUCGAAGAAAACAAGAGGUUAAGAAUACUAUCAGAGAUAUGCAUAACAACAAAAAGGAAAAAAAAAAAAAAAGGCAUUGGCAAGUCAAUUGAUAUUGCUGAAUUGUCGAUUUCAACUUUGGCAUGUGUAAUUCAGACAUUGCGCGUUGUGGUAUGGCGCUGGCACGCUUGCAUUGCCGAGAGGACAAAUCUUGGGGCUGGGCUAAAAUUUAGGCUUGUAGAACUCAUGGUGCUAAUGGGAACGCCAAAUUUUUUUAACAUAUUUCGGUGCUUUCAUGGUUUAAUUCAAGGUAUAGAAAGGAGUGUUGAGAAUGUCAAAUAAAACGACAUUGAAUGGAAGUUGUCAAAGACAUGAUCCGCACUGAACGGCAAUGACACGGUUGGUAAAGAUUUUUUCAUAAUAUGCGUAUCUAAUUUUUGAAAAAUUGUAACCUCUGCUUCUAUAAAUAUGCUCAAUGUAUAAUGUUUUACUUAAGAAAUGAAAAACUUAAUUCUUUAUGGUAUCAGAGCGAGGCUCGUUGCUCUGUUUGUAACAAAAACAAAGAAAACUAAAUUCUUCCCACAACUAUUUUUCCACCUUUUUUUCUUCCUUAAAAGCAUUCCUAGCAUUACAGAAACCCAUGCCAAUAAAAGAACAAGCCACACAUAUGUAAAAACUUUAGUUUACAAAUCUAUCAACAUCCCCAUAAAUUUUCCCAAAAAGUGAUCUUCAAAAACCAAAAAUACCAUCAAUUUUCGCAUCUUCUAGUAAACAAACUAUAAAAGUUUCGCACUCAAACAGAGCCACACGCGCCUCCACGCGCUUCCCGGAAUCACGGCCAACCACCACGCGCCUCUGUCACCACCAACUCACCCUCAUGCGCUCCAGAUGUUGCAGAAGACGCAAAACGACGUGUCGUUUUCUUCUCUAAAAGUGCAGCAACGUGGAAAUGACUUUUUGUUUUUGCCUUAAAUUGUUUUUCCUCGUUUGAAGCUAUACAACAUUUUUCUUUCUAAACCUGUUUUUUACAAUAAAAAAAGAAAAAAAUGGAGAAAACUCCAACUGAAUCUACUCAUGUUGUCAUUCAAUCUGUUCAACCUGAUGGAGUAUUUAAUGCCGAAAUUAUCCUUACUAAGACAAACUACGAUAUUUGAUCUCAAAUAAUGGAGAUGCAUCUCGCAGAAAGAAAAAAACUCCCAUAUAUUCGUAGCAGCAUAAAUCCAUCUGACAAAUUUUCAAAGAAAUAUGAGAAAUGGUAUAGUGAGAACCAAAAAGUAAAAAGAUGGUUACUCAUAACCAUGUGUCCUGAGAUCAUGAAGCGAUAGUUACAAAUUCCUACAGCCUACGAAAUUUAGAAUGCAUUAUCAAAAGCCUUUUAUAAUGGAAGCGAUGAAAUACAAGUUUUCACUCUAAAUCAGAAGGCGUUCUCUACGAAGCAAAAUGGACAACCACUCUCUAAAUUCUACGGAGAAUUGAUCAAAAUGUUUCAAGAACUUAAUCACCGAGAUAAAGUGGUCAUGAAGGAUCCAGAAGAUGUUAUAAUAUAUAGGAAGUUUGUUGGAAGAUUGAGAGUGCACAUUUUUCUUGCUGGACUAGAUGAAGAAUUUGACCAAGUUUGUGGAGAAAUUCUACGAAAAGAUACUAUCCUAGACUUAAAAGAAUGUUAUUCUCUAAUCCGAAAAGAAGAUGUACGGCAAAGCAAACUAACAAGAAGGUGGACGACUCAGAAACGUCUGCUAUGAUACCACAAGAGAACAAUGUUUUGAAAUUGUUCGAUAUCCUGACUGGUGGGAUACUCGAAGUAAUAACACAAAGCAGAGAUAAAAAACUGCAGUAGCUGAAUCCACAUCCACUACAGAUCUUAGAAAAGAAUCUUCAGCGCAAAUUGCAACCUCUGUCAAUUCAGGUAAGGUCAUUAAAACUCUUACAUUUGUUAUUAAUAGUAUAUGGAUAAUUGAUUAUGGUGCAACUGAUCAUAUGACUUUUGAUUCUUGACAAGUUUCUUAAUUGAAACCAUCUUCACAUAAACAUGUUUCUACUGUAAAUAGAACCACAACCUCAGUUAUUGGGGAAGGAUCUUUACAACUCACAAUUAAAUCAAAUUUAGACUUUGUGUUAAUUGUUCCAUCUUUAAAUUAUAAUCUUUUAUAUGUGUCUCAAAUAACCUCUUACUUAUCAUGUGUUGUAAUGUUUUGGCCCGAUCAUUGCAUGUUUAAGGACAUCCAAAUGAAGGAAACGAUUGGUUAUGAUAUUAAAUAAGGCAACUUGUAUUACCUGGAGAUGACAUCAACAAACACUGAAAAGCUAAGCCCCGCAUUAGUAGCAGACAAUUCCAUGAAAAAAAAGGAAAUAAGAAAUUUGGUUAUGGCAUAGACGAUUAGGGCAUGUGUCAUUUGAUUUCUUAAAAAAAUUGUUUCCUAGUUUGUUUCUGAAAUUUGAUAUUUGUAACUUUAAAUAUGAUGUUUGUGAACUUUCAAAUAGCCAUCGAACUACUUUUCCAUUGUCCUUAAAUAAGAAUCCAAUUCCUUUAAUGGUAGUACAUUCUGAUGUAUAGAGACCAUCUAAAGUUUCUACCAUUGGAAGAGCUCGUUGGUUUGUUACAUUUAUUGAUGAUUGUAGCAGAAUGACAUGGAUUUUUUUAUGAAAUUAAAAUCAUAUGAUGGUGACAACUCUAUUUCAGACACAAAUUUGAGUUCUACAUACUGAUAAUGGAGGCGAGUAUAUGAGCACAACAAUUCAACAGUUUUUGAAAUCACAAUGAACUCACCACCAAACCACUUGUGUGGGGACACUCCAACAAAAUGGCGUUGCUAAACAAAAAAAUAGACAUUUACUAGAAGUUGUUCAAGCAUCACUAAUUUAGGCCCGCAUGCCACUAUUUUAUUGGGGAGAAGCAUUGGCAUCCGUAGCAUACUUGAUCAAUCGGACACCUUCAAUCUUCCUUGGAUUCCAAACUUAUUUUCUAGUUCUAAAUGAAGAAUUAUGUCAUCAAAUGUGUCGAAUUUACCCCCACAUAUGUUUGGUUGUGUUGCCUUCGUUCAUUUGCCAUGACAAGAUAAAUUAUCUCCUCGAGCACUACGUUGUGUGUUUGUAGGGUAUGCCUUACAUCAAAAGGGGUACCGAUGCUAUCAUCCUCUAUUAAGAAAAAAUAUACAUCACCAUGGACAUAAUCUUUCAUGAAGAUAUCAUGUAGUACCCAUCGGAGCUUGAAUUUCAGAGGGAGUAUAAUGAAGAGGAAAUUCAUACUCUUACAUAUCUUUCACCUGAAGAAGAUCAAUCCUCCAUUGAGGUAGUAAACGUUCAAGAUACUGGAAAAGAAAACGACAAUGAUUCUCAGGCUGAGACAAGUGAAGACACAUUUAGGGAGCAAAAUAACUCAGACAUAACCACAAUCGAGAACGAGUCCAUGAAGAGCCACAUGAAGAAAUAUCUAACCAAUCAUCUGCAGAGGAUGAUCCUACCACAAAUCCCAGUCUAAUCAGAAGAAUACUUCCCCAGCAUCAAAAUAGAGGUAUCUCUAAACCCACAUAUAAGACUGACCUCUCUAGUAGAGUCAAAUACCCUAUGAGUCAUUUUGUAUCUAACCAUGGCUUAUCAAAAUCAAAUCAGUCAUUUGUGAAUCAAUUAUCUACUGUGUCUAUUCCUAACAGUGUGCAAUAAGCCUUAAAAUAUCGAAAGUGGAAAGGGCUAUGAAUGACGAAAUGAGAUCUCUUUAAAAAAAAUCAAACAUGGGAACUAAUUGAUCUUCCACCAGGAAAGAAACCAGUGGGUUGCCGAUGGAACUAGUUGAUCAUCCACCUCCAUUCUGACAAGCAAUGUUUAUCAGCAAUAACAAAUGACUGAAGCAUUUUAAUGAGGUUAGUAACGAAAAAGAGUUUAAUUAGAGAAUAUUAUAAGAGAAAUUCUAAUUUUUGAUUUUUAAUAAAUUAAAAUAUCUUAAAAUAUUAUUAGUUGGUGGUGGUUUCAUGUCAGAUUAAGACGUGACACCUUACUAAUGAGGUCGAGACAAUUAGCUUAAAUUAUUUCAAUGCAUUUGAAAUUUCCACUAAUGACUAUAAUUCUUUGUCCUAAUUACUAUGAUAAUUAAUAACAUACAAUUGAAAUAGUUAAUAUUAGCACUUGGCAAUAAAUAAUUAAAUUUCAUUAACACUAAAUAAUAAUUGAAUAUGGCUUUGUACAUCGAUGACGCCAGCAACAAGGGGACCGCGAUUAUCACUCUUUAAGUUGCUUUUAAAAUUGAUUUUAGUAGUGAUAUGAUUAUUGUAGUGUUUUUAUUUUUUAUAUUAAAAUUAAGUGAUUUGUUAUAAUAAACUUAGUUGAGUUUAAUGGUAUUACUACAUAAAUUGAAUAGUUAUCAAAUAUUUUAAUAUUUUUAUGGCAAGCGUUGACGUGGCAUUUAUUUGUUGUAUGAUGGAUUUUAAAAUUUAUAAAAUUAUUUGUUAUUAAAUUACCCCCAGAUGCUACAUCACCUGAAACUUAAUAAAGGUAUGAAGACAUGUGUGUGUGGACUGAAAUGAAGAAUAUGGAAAAGUUGAGAGCUGUUGUGCAGAUUGAGUUCAGUUGAUGGGGUCUAUUAGAUAUUGUCUGCUGACGUGGCAUGAAUUCGUUAUAAUCUGUUAUAACGAGUUCAGUAUAUCAGUAUACAAUAGAGCUGAUGGAUGGUGCCUGUUUUAGAGUCUUUUUUAUAUUCAUUUGUUCAUCAUUUUGCGCAAGAUCUGUUCCAUUGUGAUAUGUGUAAAGUCUUAUGUAAACCCACUUAUGAUUGGAUUAGUUCUUGAUUAAUAACAACGAGUAAAUUUUCCUUCAAGUGUGCUGGUCUGUGCCCCUGUUUUUUGUUCUGAUAUUGUUUCUUUGUUCUGGCAUUUCAUUUCGAUUGUGUUCUUGGUGUUUCUACUCAUCAAGAUUUAUGAGUCUUGUUGAGAUUAAAGACUUAAUAGUCUUAACAAGUGGUAUCAGAGCCUGGUGAAUCUCAGCCAUGUCUCUUUCGAAGCAUGAAAUUGAAAAAUUCACCAUUGGUGGUGAUUUCUCGCUUUCGAAAUUAAAAAUGAGGGCUCUCCUUGUGCAUUAGAGGCUUGAAUUUGCUCUGGAAAAAGAUAAUCUAGAGGCUGCUACAAGUUAUGUGACUGAUGAUAAGAAGAGACAAAUCCAAAACCGAGCUCGUAGCACUCUAGUUUUGAGUCUUGGUGACUCAAUCUUGAGAAAGAUUUCUGAAGAGAAGACAACCUUAGGGAUUUGGAACAAGGUAGAAGCUUUGUGUACAAAGAAGUCGCUAGCUCACAGACUAUUCUUGAAGAAAAAGUUAUACACAUUCUCGAUGAGAGAAGGAGUCACAAUUCAAGAUCACAUUGAUACCUUCAACAAGAUCAUUCUUGAUCUUGAAGGGGUGGAAAAUGUGACAAUAAGUGAUGAAGAUAAAGCCUUCUUCUUGUUGAGUUCCUUACCAAAGUCUUAUGAAGGCUUUGUAGAUACAAUGCUUUAUGGCAGAACAACAUUGACUCUUGAAGAUGUUAAAGCAUCUCUAAGUUCAAAAGAGAUUCAGAAGAACAAUGAGAUUGAAACAAAUAAUGGUGAUGGGCUGAUUGCCAGAUCAGAAAAGAAGAAAGAUCAGAAGAAUAAAAAUCAGGGAAAAUGACAUGGAAAGAAUUAAGAAAAUGCAGACAAGAAGAAAAAGAAGAGAAAAUGCUUCUACUGCCGGAAGGAAGGGCAUUACAUCAGGGAUUGUCUUAAAAAGAAAAAAAAAGAAAGUCAAGAGAAGUCAGGGGAUGCAGCUGUAGCCUCUGAUGAUGCCUCUGAUGGAUAUCACAUUGCUGAUUUACUUGUGGCCUCAAAUAGCAAUACUAAAGGUCAGUGGGUCAUAGACUCUGAGUGCUCUUUUCACUUGUGGCCUGAUAAAACCAUAUUUUACAAAUAUGAAGUUGUUGAUGGUGGUAGAGUCUUAAUGGGAAAUAAUAAUGUGUGUAAUCUUGUUGGUAUUGGUUCUGUGAAGAUCAAGAUGUUUGAUGGAACUGUAAGAGCUCUACAUGAGGUGAGGCAUGCUCCUAGGCUAAAGAGAAAUCUAAUCUCUUUAGGCAUGCUAGACAGCUUAGGGUAUUUCUUUAAAUCAGAAAGUGGUGGUUUAGAGAUAAGAAAGGGGACUGAGAUAGUGAUGAAGGGGGUUAAAGAAAAUGGCUUAUAUGUAUUGUAAGGCUCAUCAGUGCUUCUUCAAAAGGGAAUUUCUGCUCUUUUUGAGGAAGAUAUAACCAAGUUAUGACAUCUUAGACUUGGUCAUAUGAGUGUCAAAGGGAUGUAAGAGCUCAGCAAACAAGGGCUACUUGGUGGGGAUAGAAUCCAGCAACUGGAAUUAUGUGAAAAUUGCAUUUUUGGCAAAGCUCACAGGUCCAAGUUUCACAAGGGGGAGCAUAUGUCUAAGCAAGUUUUGGACUAUGCACAUGCUGACCUUUGGGGGCCUGCUCAAGUCCCAUCCUUGAGUGGUGGCAGGUAUUUCAUAUCACUAAUUGAUGAUUACUCAAGGAAGAUGUGGGUCUACAUACUCAAGACCAAAGAUCAAGCCUAGGAAAAAAUUCAAGGUAUAGAAAUCUUUGGUAGAAAAUCAAUUUGGAUUCAAGCUCAAAUGCUUGAGAACUGAUAAUGGUUUGGAAUUUUGUAGCAAAGAAUUUGAGGAAUAUUACAAAAAAACAUGGCAUAAAAAGGCACAAAACAGUCAGGUUCACCCCCCAGCAGAAUGGCUUGGCUGAAAGGAUGAACAUGACCUUGGUAGAUAAGACCAGAUGUAUGUUGAUAAAUUCAAAGCUUCCAAGAAGCUUUUGGGCAGAAGCUGUCAAUACAACAAGUUGUUUGGUUAACAGAAGCCCAUAUUCUGCAAUUGGCUUCAAAACACCAGAAGAAUUGUGGAAGGAAAAACCUGUAAAUUACCAAAAUCUCAGUGUUUUUGGAUGCCCUGCUUAUCUCCACAUCAAUCAAGGCAAGCUGGAAGCUAGGGCCUUGAAAGGAGUCUUUGUUGGAUAUCCUGAUGGGGUUAAGGGAUACAUAAUCUGGUGUAGAGAGUAAGGGAAGUGUAUAGUCAGCAGGGAUGUUGUGUUUCAUGAAUUUGGAUUGCUAAAAGAAAAUGCAGAGAAUGAUACUAGACUACAAAAUGAUUCAAUAAUUAUCAAACAAUCUGGAACUUCCAAGGUUAAGGUGGAGCUGUUUGGAAAUAAAGACAGUAGAAAAGAGGUAGCUGAUUAUGAAGAGAGGACCACAGCUAAAGUUGAGGAACAUGAGUCAUCAGAGUUGCCACAAGCUGACUUGCAGACUUAUCAGUUAGCAAGAGAUAGAGUUAGAAGAGAAGUCAAAGCACUAGUGAGGUAUGGCUAUGCUGACUUAAUUACUUAUGCAUUGUUGUGUGCUGAUGAUGUGGCAAUUGAAGAGCCUGCUAACUUCUCUGAAGUUAUUGAAAGUGUGCAUUGUGAUAAGUGGCUUGAGGCAAUGCAAGAUGAAAUGGGAUCCCUUCAAAGAAAUCAGACCUGGACACUUGUUCCAAAUCUAGGUAAUAAAAAGUUGAUCAGUUGUAAGUGGAUCUUCAAGAAGAAUGAAGGAAUUCCAGAUGUUGAACCUCCCAAAUAUAAAGCAAGGCUAGUGGCUAGGGGGUUUACACAGAGAAAGAGUGUAGAUUUCAAUGAAAAAUUUUCCCCUGUUCUUAAGCACAUUUCAAUAAGAAUUUUAUUAGUCAUGGUAGCCUUACUUGACUUGGAGCUUGAGCAAAUGGAUGUAAAAACAGCAUUCCUUCAUGGUAAUCUUGAAGAACAGAUAUUGAUGGCACAACCUAAAUGUUUUGAGUGCAAAGGAAAUGAGGAUUAUGUUUGUUUGCUGCAUAAGUCCUUGUAUGGACUCAAGCAAUCCCCACGACAGUGGUACAUAAGAUUUGAUGAUUUUAUGGUCUCAAAAGGCUAUCACAUAAGCAAAUAUGACAGUUGUGUUUACUUUGGUGGAUCAUAUCAAGGUGGAGUUGCUUAUUUGCUUCUGUAUGUUGAAGAUAUGUUAAUUGCAAGAAAAUAUAAGUUGGAGAUAGAGAGGUUGAAGAAAUGAAGGAUCUCGGCAAUGCCAAAAGAAUCCUUGGGAUGAACAUUACAAGGGGCAGAUCUGCUGACACUUUGUUCUUGAGUCAUGAGAAAUAUAUCAAGAAGGUUCUGGAGAGGUUUGAGAUGCAAGACUAUAAACCUGUCCAAACACCACUUGGUCCCCAAUUCAAGUUGACAGCAGCUCAAUCAUCAGAAGAUGAGUCUCAGGUGAGUGAAUUCCCAUAUGCACAGGUUGUAGGGAGCCUGAUGUAUGUAAUGGUAUGCACCAGGUCAGAUAUAGCUUAUGCAGUAAGUGUUGUCAGCAAAUUUCUCAGUUGUCUAGGCAAGGUUCACUGGAAUGUUGUAAAAUGGAUAAUGAGAUAUCUUAAGGGCUCUUUUACUUGUGGUUUGCUGUAUGGGAAGACUAAGAGUGACAUAAGUGAAGUCCUGGGGUUUGUAGACUCUGACUUUGCUGGAGAUCUUGAUAGAAUGAAGUCAACCUCAGGGUAUAUGUUUGUGUUAAACAGUUGCCUGAUUAGCUGGAAGUCAUCACUUCAGUCUGUGGUUGCUUUAUCCUCAACUGAAGCUGAGUUUGUUGCAACUACAGAGGCAGUAAAAGAGGCCAUGUGGCUAAGAGGUUUGCUUAAUGAGUUAUGGUUAAAUCAGAAAAUUGUUCAGGUUUUCUGUGAUAACCAAAGUGUCAUACACCUGGUAAAGAAUCAGAUGUAUCAUGAAAGAACCAAGCACAUUGAUGUGAAGCUCCAGUUUAUCAGAGAUGAGGUUGGAAAAGGAACUAUAAUUGUGUCCAAGAUCUAUACCAGUGUGAAUCCAACUGAUGUUAUUACAAAAGCACUUCCCACUGCAAAAUUUGAAUUCUAUGUGAAUCUAAUGGGCAUCUCGCCCAAACCUAACUAAAUUCAAUAGUGAAUUGUAGUUGAAUGAAGGUUUUUUAGGUGCUGUGUUAUUGAAAGGAUCAACUGAAUCAACUGCAAGGUGGAGAAUGUGAAGAUGUGUGUGUGGACUGAAAUGAAGAAUAUGAAAAAGUUGAGAGCUGUUGUGCAGAUUGACUUCAGUUGAUGGGGUCUAUUAGAUAUUGUCUGCUGACGUGGUAUGAAUUCGUUAUAAUCUGUUAUAACGAGUUCAAUAUAUCAGUAUAUAAUGGAGCUGAUGGAUGGUGCCUGUUUUAGAGUCUUUUUCGUAUUCAUUUGUUCAUCAUUUUGCACAAGAUUUGUUCCAUUGUGAUCUGUGUAAAGUCUUCUGUAAAUCCACUCAUGAUUGGAUUAGUUCUUGAUCAAUAACGAGUAAAUUUUCCUUCAAGUGUGCUGGUCUGUGCCCCUGUUUUUGGUUCUAAUAUUGUUUCUUUGUUUUGGCAUUUCAUUUCGAUUGUGUGCUUGGUGUUUCUACUCAUCAAGAUUUGUGAGUCUUGUUGAGAUUAAAGGCUUAAUAGUCUUAACAAAAGGGAAUGUAGCAUUGCCAUUAAUCAACAUUCACUCUUAUGACUUUAUGACAUUAGAAUUAAAAUCUUUCGUACAUUUAAUUUAUUUGCUUCCAAAUUAAUCUUUAAUAAAUAUUUUUUCACAUUAUCAUCAAUGGACAAAACUCCAACGAAAAUAACUACACGAGAACAAUUUAUGCUAGUAUUAAAUGCCACGAUAUCUAUAACUUUGUCUGGAUCGAUCAUUCUAAUUUUUUCGCAGAACUUUUUGUCAAUGGACAAACACCUCACAGAGCUUGUCAGCCGCAUUAUUACGAUGUAAAAUUGUACCGGAAUAUCUUGAAUUAUUAGUAGAAUAAUGAAGACUAUUUGGGGCAAUAAAAACAAAUAACGCAGAUAAAAAAAUGGCUAAAAUUAUGUAAGUGAGCCCCAAAGUUUUUGCUAUUUCCAGGAAAUCCCAAAUUUGAAUGGACUAGAGGGAGGCACGUAAGAAAUACAUUUUCUUCCUAGACAAUGACAGCUAUGACAUCAAGCCACGGUGGCGUCAGUAUUGAAAUUAAGGUGUAAUUAUUCAGCCAAUGAGCCUUACACAUCAAGAUAAAAGUCAAGAUAAUGAAAAUUUGGCUGUUUCCAUUUGAAGUUAAAAGCAACGUUUCUUUCGUUUUGUGGGCGACUCGACUGAGCACGCCCCAAUAGCUAUAUUUAGGGCGUCAAUUUGAUAUUUGAAUGGACAGGCAAGUAAGAAAUACAUUUCCUUCAUAGACAAUGACAACGAGGACAUCAAGCCACAUCAUUAUAGUUUGUAGCCCAUCUACAUUUAAACGAUUAAUAAACAAGCUUAGGUGUGCCACUGCUAUUAUUAAUUAUCCCCUGAUCAUUAUAGUUUCUGAAACAGUAAAACUAAACGAAAUUGAAUACAUCAACGAGACCGCAAUUAUCACUUGUUUAGUUGCGGUAUUUAACUUAAUUUUAAUAUAAUAUAUUUGUUAGUUAAACUUUUAAUAAUCAAAUAAUUUUGAUUUAAAAAUAAAAUUAUAGAAAUUAUUAAUUAUUAAUUAUUAAAAAUUCACAAUUAAGGGAACGUUCAUCAAACACACAUAGCUAUUGUUUUCUCUAUAUAUUGCAGUGUGUACGAUAUUGAGGGUUGAAGCCCCAAGCAUGCUCUAAAAUCCAGAUAAUAAUUAGAUCCGGGCCAAAUAUUCAUCAUUGUGUCAGCUGAUCAGUCGGUGGACAUCUCUAUUGAAAAUAUCUCUGACAUUUCACUCGACAAACUUAUUAAUAUAAAAAAUCUGUGGUUUUGCCGUCUGAAUAAUGUAGAAAAAUUUGUCUAUGCAUUAAUCUAGAUGUUUGAGGUGAUUUAUACAUCUGUGGUAAAGAUUUAUAGGUUGACUUAGACGUCUGUGGUAUAGAUUUUAUGUAUUUCAUUACAAAAUGCUGGCCGUUAGAACCCUUUCUACAUCUAUUUAUAAGAUUAACGGGUGCCAGCUAUGCCAUUACAAAUUAUCCCCUCAUCAGAUAUUUCGUUAAAAUUCAUUCUGAAACACUAAAACUAAAUAAUCGAAUAUGGCUUUGCGGGUCGAUGAUGCCAGCAGCAAUGAGACUGCAAUUAUCACUUGUUUAGUUUCUGUGCUGGCCGUGGUUUACUUCGCAUGGAAUGUGAAAAAAUCAAGGAAAGCAAAUGCUACACUGCCACCAGGACCUCGCGGCUUGCCUGUAUUCGGAUACCUCCCAUUUCUUGGAACUACUGACUUGCACAAGAAAUUCACGGAAUUAUCCGGAGUUUAUGGUCCGAUCUUCAAGCUUUGGCUUGGAAAUAAAUUAUGUGUAGUGGUGAGCUCACCUUCCCUAAUUAGACAAGUGGUUCGUGAUCAAGAUACAACAUUCGCGAACCGUGACCCACCGAAGGCUGCACUAGUGGUCUCCUAUGGUGGCAAUGAUAUUGCAUGGUCCAAUUACGGUCCCGAAUGGAGAAAGUUGCGCAAAUUUUUUGUGGGCAAGAUGAUGAAUAACGCAAGCCUUGAUGCUUGUUAUGCUCUAAGAAGACAAGAGGUUAAAAAUACUAUCAGGGAUUUGUAUAACAACGACAACAAAAUUGGCAAGCCCAUUGACAUUGGUGAAUUGUCGUUUUCAACAUUGGUAUGUGCUAUACAGAACAUGCUGUGGGGUGAAGCGCUUGAAUUAAAAGAGAAAGGGACCACUAAUCUUAGGGCUGGGCUAAAAUUUAAGCUGGCAGAACUCAUGGUGCUUGCGGGAACACCGAAUAUUUCGGAUGUCUUUCCAAUGCUUUCAUGGCUUGACAUACAAGGUAUAGAGAGGAGAGCAAAGAAGAUUUCACUCUGGCUUGAUAAUGUUAUAAAUUCUACUGUUGAACAGCAUAGAAACAAGGAGUUAACUGUUGAAGGUGAAGAAAGAGCGGGGAAAAAUUUUGAAGGAUCAAGGAACAAGAACUUCUUGCAGUUACUAUUGGAGCUUCAAGAAAAUGAUGACAGUGCUUCCUCAAUUAGCAUGAACCAAUUCAAGGCCGUACUCGCGGUAUGUUAAGCAACUAGCCACGAACAGUUAUACAAGCACAAUUGUAUAUUUGCAUGAGUGAUAUUUUCAACCUUUUUUUUUAAUUAGAAUUUUAUUGUCACCUUUUGGACAGGAUAUAAUUACGGCUGGAACCGACACCACAACUACGAUGGUGGAAUGGACAAUGGCAGAGUUGAUGCAGCAUCCACAAGUAAUGAAGAAAGUUCAGGAAGAAUUAGCUCAAGUUGUGGGCAUGGACAGUUGUGUUGAAGAAUUUCACCUGUCUAGAUUAAUGUAUUUAGAUGCUGUGGUGAAGGAAACAUUUCGUCUGCAUCCUGCAGUGCCUUUAUUACUACCACGUAGGGCAAGCGAGAGUGGCAACAUUGGUGGCUAUACCAUUCCCAAAGAUACAACUCUUAUGUUGAAUGUUUGGGCUAUCCACAGGGACCCUCACCUUUGGGAUAAUCCCUUAGAAUUUCGACCCGAGAGGUUUCUGAAUGUUGGUAUCGAGAGUAAGUUCGAUUACUCAGGUAACAAUUUUCAGUACUUGCCAUUUGGUUCUGGUAGAAGGAUGUGUGCUGGGAUUCCUCUAGCUGAGAGGAUGCUGAUGUUUGUUUUGGCUUCGUUAUUGCACUCAUUCGAGUGGGAAUUGCCAACUGGCACAAAGCUAAACUUAUCAGAAAAAUUUGGGAUUGUCAUUAAGAAAAAAGAGCCUUUGGUUGCUAUUCCAACACCAAGACUAUCCAAUUCAGAGCUCUACCAUUAAGACCAAAUGGUUGUGAUGAUUUUGUUAAUUUCCGAAGAUUUGUAUGUUAUUUCAAGUUCAAUCGUAGUAAAAUAUUUCAAAUAAGAGUCCUCCGUUGCUUUUUUUUUUUUUUUUCAACGGCAUAAUCUGUGGUCAUGCUUGUAUUUGGAGCCACUUUAGAAAAAUUAUGUUUGAAUUACAAUUUAUAAAUAUUACAUUUUAAAAUAUUAUGAGGCUAAAUUUAUACACGUUCAAUAACCCGCUUCAUAUAUAUUUAACACAAUUUAUAUCAUACAUUGUACACCCAUUUAUCAUAAAUUACACUAUUUUGUAUCUCUAAAUAAUAUUACGUAUUGAUAUUAUAAAAUAUAUAUGGAAAAGAGAACAAAGAAGAUUUCUUAUGGUUUGAAAAUAUUAUGAAUUCUGCUGUUGAACAGUAUGGAAACAAGGUCUCUGUUGUUAAAGGUGAAGAAGCAACAGGGAACAAUAUUGAAGGAAGAAAUUUCACAUGUUUAGUUGCUGAAUUUGCCGCUGUAUUCUAUCGGUAGUAAAAAAAUUAGAGUUUUUAUUUUUCUCUAUUAAUGUUAAGUCAAUUUUCUAUAACAAAUUCGGUUGAGUUUAAUUGUGUUACAAUAUAAAUUGAAUGAUAAUAGAAUUUUCAACGAAUAUUUCAAUAUUUCUAUCUCGAUUGUUGAAGUGCCAUUUAUUUGUUAUGCGAUCGAUUUUAAAAUUUAUAAAAAUUAUUUGUUACUAAAUUGCAUCAUAUGCUAAAAUCACCUGAAACCUAAUUCCAUAACUAACCCUUUAUUUUUAGUUCUCAAGAAAUCUUGUAAGAACAAAAUUCUUUUAUAACAAAACUUUUACAACACAUUAAUUUGUAACUCAUUCCUGUGCGAGAAUCACUCUCAAAUUCCUUCAAUUGCUGUUGAACAAUCAUCUGCUUAUCAAAAUUCAAGCAUAAUCUUUUCUUUUUUUUAAUUUCUUCAUCAUUCUUUUGAAAAAAAAAAAUCAGGAUAUGCUGUUAAAAUUUUGAAAUAAAUUAUCUCAAAAUAAUUACUAACCAGAAAAAACAAAGGGGUUUAACUAGGUUAUGCAUACCUUUGAAAAUUAUAUGUUGAUCGAUAAGAAUGAUGAUCACGAUUGAGGAGUUUAAUUAAAAUAUAUAAGAUUUUAAAAUUAAUCAGGGUUAAAUUGUGAAUUUUAGAAAGAGAGGUUUUGUGAGAAUGCUGAAAGGGUGUUAAUAGUUCCACUCUUUUUAAAAGCAACCAUAGUCAUCAUUUUUCCCGAUUUCUUCUUCCCAUCUCCAUCUUAUUUAGAAAUUUCCCAGAGCCUUUGUUUCCCACCUUUCAUUGUUCUUCUUUCUAAUUUAAUACUAUAGGAUUACAAAAAUAAUUACUCACAUUUUAUCAAACACCUCCAUUCUACCAAGGCCUUGUUUUAGUAGUAGGCUUUUAUUAUCUCAAUAAAAUUGAAAAAACAAAUCUCAAUAAUAUUGGAAAAAAAAAACCUACCCAUAUUUGUAACUUUAAUUUAUUAUUCUCCAUAGACCUACUUUUUAGCUUUGAAUUUUGUUGGAGCCAUAUAUAAACAGAAUAUGUUGAAUCAGCACCAAAAAAAAAAAAAAAAAACUAAUUAUAUAAUUUCUGUUCCCAAGGACAUGACUGAUUGAUUUUCAAGAAGUUUUGUUUGGCUGGCUACUUAGGUUUAAAUCUUGGUGGAGAUUAGGGGUUAAGAAAUAAAUUUGGACUUUGCACACCCCUUUAACUUUUAAAAAGAAAUGAAAAAAACUAAUUAAUUAAUCUUUAUUUUAUUUAUUAAAUAUCAUAAUCCUAUGCGUAUUUUAUUUGUUAUCUUUCUAUUUAAAAGACAGGAGGGCAGAUAAAACUGAAAUAAAUUUUUAGCCCUAUCUCCAUCUUUCAAGUUCCAUAGUUAGGUGACCAGGUAAAGAAAAUUAAUUGAAAGCUACUCCAUCAAAUUAAAAAAUUUUAUUUAUUUAAUUUGUGGAGAUGUAGAAAAUCAAACCCCAUGCCUUUUCGCGUGGAAAAGUGUCAACCUGGUCUAGCUAUGUUGCAAAAGUGAACAUAUUUUAAUACAUGACUAUCAUCCUUUAUCCUAAAUACUACUAUAACUAAUAACAUACAAUUGAAAUAAUUAAUGUUAACACUUGGCUAUAAAUAAAGGUUUUGUGCUUGAAUCUUCACGCAUGACCUUCAUUCCUUUAUUUACUUUGCUAACACAGAUUUUGAGGCAUUAAAACUAAAUAAUAAUUGACUUUGUGGGCCGAGGAUGCCAGCAACAAGGAGACCACAAUUAUCACUUGUUAAGUUACUCUAAUUGCCGUUGUCUUAUAUUCAUAGAAUAUUAGUAAUAAGAUUAUUGUAGAAUUUUUUUAUAUUAAAAUUAAGUCAAUUUGUUAUAACAAAUUUAGUUGAGUUUAAUCGUGUUACCACAUAAAUUGAAUAAUAAUAAAAUUCUCGACAAAUAUUUCAAUAUUUUUAUCCCAAGCGUUGGAGUGGCAUUUAUUUGUUAUACGAUCAAUUUUAGAAUUUAUAAAAUUAUUCGUUACUGAAUUGCACCAUAUGCUGCAUGACCUGAAACUUAAUAAACGGAACGUAGCGUUGGCACCGUUACUCAACAUACUGUUACGACUUUGUGACAUUAGAAUUAAAAUCUUUUGCACAUUUAAUUUGUUUACUUCCAAAUUAAUAUUUAACAAAAUAUUUUUUCACAUUAUCAAUGGACAAAACUCCAACGAAAAUAACUACACAAGAAAAAUGUAUGCUAGUAUUGUGUGCCAUAUCAUCUGUAAUUUUGUCAGGAUCGAUCAUUCUAAUUUUUAAGCAGAACUUUUUAUCAAUGGACAAACACCUCACACAGCUUGUCAGAGGCAUUAUUAUGAUGGAAAACUGUAAUGGUAUAUCUUGAAUUAUUGGUAGAAUAGUUCUUUGGAGCAAUAAAAACAGAUAAGACAGAUGAGAAAAUUGUCAAUACCCCACCGCAAAAGCAAAAGAAAAAAAGGAAAGGAGACAAAAGAGGAAGAAGAAAAAGAAAAAAGAACGAAGAAAAAAAUGGUGCCGCGCGGUAUAGGCAAGAAGAAAAAAUAAUAAUAAAAUAAUAAAAUAAUAGUGCACAACAGUCAUUUGAUUGCUAUAAAUAAAGGGGCAUUUCCCUCAUUUUAUUCAUCGAAUUCUUCAGUUCCUAAGCGAUUUAAGAGUCUAGUGAUUUGAGAGUUUGGGUAUAGUAUAGUUUUGAGUAGUGAGUUAAAAUAUUACAAUACUUAUAACUUAUUUUUACUAAUAAAAUAUUUUUCUUCUAUCUUCACCCGUGGACGUAGGGUCAAAGCCGAAUCACAUAAUUUUUAGUAUCCCUAUGUGAUUAUGUAUCUCAUUAUUUUUCAAUUUUACUUUAGUUACGUGUCUGCUACAUCCUUCAAUUUACUAACAAAAAUGGCCAAAAUUAUAUAAGUGACCCAAAUUUUUUUGCUAUUUCCAAGAAAUCUCCAAUCUGAAUGGGCCAGACCAGAGGGAGGCAAGUUAGAAAUACGUUUCCUUCAUAGACAAUAACAGCGAUGAGUCGAUGACAUCGAGCCACGUCGGUAUCAAUAUUGAAUUAAAGGUGCAAUUAUUCAGCCAAUGAGCCUUACACAUCAAGAUAAAAGUCAAGAAAAUGAAUAUUUAUCCUAAUUAAAACACUUUCUGGCUGCAUUUAGUUGUUUCCAUUUGAAGUUAAAAGCAACGUUUCUUUCGUUUUGUGGGCAACUCGACUCAGUUAGCUGGCUUCUAGUGCUAGUAAGUGAAAAUAGAAGGCUAAUGAUUUAUUUGUUAUCUUUUGAUAAAAUUAUUAAAGAUAUAAUAGAUUUUUCAUGAUACAAAUAAAAAAUCACAUCAACAUAGCUUCCAAAGUACAACAGCUAAUGUUUACCAAACACUUUGUUGUAGCUUUUAAGCUACAGCUGCCCAACUUUAAUUUCAAAUGCACCCUUAAUAGGUUGAUUGAAUUUGUGGGAUAUAGAUUCCACAUAUCGUAUGACCUAGUAACUAUACAAGUGGUUCGUGAUCAAGACACAACAUUUGCUUCCGGCCCGGUGACCCAGCAAUCGCUGCAUUGGUCGCCACCUAUGGUGCCAACGAUAUUGCAUGGUCCAAUUGUGGCCUUGAAUGGAAAAAGUUGAGCAAAUUAUUUGUGGACACGAUGAUAAGUAACGCAAGCCUUGAUGCUAGUUAUGGUCCAAGAAAACAAGAGAUAUGCAUAACAACAAAAAGGAAAAAAAAAAAAAAAAAAAAAAAGGCAUUUGCAAGCCCAUUGAUAUUGGUGAAUUGUCGAUUUCAACUUUGGCAUGUGUAAUCCAGAGCCUGCGCGCUGUGGUGUGGCGCUGGCACGCUUGCAUUGACGAGGGGACAAGUCUUGGGGCUGAGCUAACAUUUAAGCUCGCAGAACUCAUGGUGCUAAUGGGAACACCAAAUAUUUUUUGACAUAUUUUGGUGCUUUCAUGGUUUAAUUCAAGGUAUAGAAAGGAGUGUUGAGAAUGUCAAAUAAAACGGUAUUGAAUGGAAGUUGUUAAAGACACGAUCCGCACCGAACGACAACAGCACGGUUGCUAAAAAUCCUUCCGUAAUAGGCAUAUCUAAUUUUUGAAAAAGUGUAACCUCUACAUUUAUAAAUAUACUCAAUGUAUAAUGUUUUACUUAAGAAAUGAAAAACUUGUUUGUUCAAGGAGAAUAAAGAAAAAUUUUCUAUGAUUUUUCUAUGGUUUGAACAAAGAAGGUUUUAACGAGUAUUAUAGACCUCGAUUGAAUGUUCGAAUGUAUAAUAAAAGAGAAACUGUCACAUAAAUGACAAAGAUACUUGAAAAAAAAAAAAAAGGGCAGCAAUAGAGAAUUAGAUCCGACUGUACAAAUAACUAGUUAAUUCAUCGAUACAUCAUUUUCUUGCUAGAAAAUGACAAUUAUGACAGCAAGCCACGAUAGUGUCAAUAUUGAAAUUGAUUUGCAAUUAUUCAGCCUAUGAGCCUUACACGUCAAGAUAAAAGUCAAGAAAAUGAAAGUUAAUAUCAAUUAAAACACUUCCAUUUCUAUGUGAAGUUAAAAAACAACGUUUCUUUUGUUUUGUGGGGGAUUCAACUGAGCACGCGCCACUAGCUAGCUGGCUUCUAGUUCUAGCAUAUGAAAACAGAAUUCUAAAGAUUUCACUUUCACCUUUUUUCUUUUUUUGGGGUUUUGAAUCAAAGUCAAGGUCGCACUGAAUAAUAUGUAAAAUUUGAAAAAGAAGAAUUAAUAGAGAACAAAGUUUUGUUUUAAAUUCACAUGGUGUGCAUACAAUUCAACAAACACUUCCUAUAAUAAAUCUGGAGUUGUAUCCCACGUUGAACAAUAAAGGAAAGUCACCUAAAUAUACAUGUAGGAUAAGUUACUUUAUUUAGUAAGUUUGUAUUUUCUUCUUUCUUCUAGUUUACAUAUAAAUUUGAUUAGAUAACUUAACACAUAUUUUAAUACUUGAUCAGAAGCCCGACGUACAGGUGGAUCUAGAAACUUGAUUUCUAAGAGUAAUACUAUAAUAAAAAAAUAAUGAUUCAUAGAACCAAUAUCAAAAUUUGUUUACAAGAUUGCCCCCACUCAAAGGUAAUUUUCAUAGAAAUUAAUAGGAAAUUUAAUUGUUAGUGGGGUCAAAUUGCCCCCACACUCUGAAUGUAGAUCCACGCCCGACCCUGAGUCAAGUAUAUUUUGCCACAUAUACUCUGAAUGUCGGCAGGAAAAAUCUUCCACUUUAGUUAAAAAUUUUCACUUAAAAAAUAUUUAUGUUAAUAAAGUUCGUAAAGGAAAUGAGUUUAAUUAAUGAAUAUUAUAGGAGAAAUUAAAGGAAAUGAGUUUAAUUAAAGAAUAUUAUAGGAGAAAUUCUAUUGUUCGGCUUUUAAUAAAUUAAUUAAUAGGUUUAAAAGAUUAAUAUACAUCAAAAUAUUAUUAGUUGGUGGGGGUUCCACAUCGGACUAAUACGUGUCACCUUACUUGUGAGAUUAAGACAAUCGACUUAGACUAUUUAAAUAUGUUUGAAGCUUAGAUGGCACCGCUUCAAUUUGCAUUACUGAAUGUCAUUCUUUAUCCUAAUUACUACCGUAAUUGAUAACAUGCAAUUGAAGUAACUAAUAUUAGCACUUGGCUAUAAAUGAACUAAAGGCCGUGCAAUUGAAUCUUUACUUGAUCACUUCACUCCUUUAUUUUGCUAACACAGAUUUUGAGAUAUUAAAACGAAAUAAUAAUUGAAUCUGGCUUUGUGGGUCGAUGAUGCUAGCAAAAACGAGACCACAAUUAUCACUUGUUUAUUUGCUGUAUUUGACGUUGUUUCAUAUUGGUAGUAAUAGGGUCAGUUUUUAAUCUUUUUAUAUUAAAGUUAAGUCAAUUUGUUAUCAAAAAAAAAAAUUGGUUGAGUUUAAUUAUAUUGCUAUGUACAUUAAAUAAUUAUAAUAUUCUUGAGGGAAAAAGACACCUAGAACCUCAAGGUUUGGGGAAAUGGUCACAAAGACUCCUAAGUUUUAAAAAAGGAACACUAAGAUCUUUUUUUACCCAUAAUACCCUUUGACUAGAGUAAUUAAAAAAUUGACUUUAAAGGUUUUUAAAUAAUUCUAAUUUAAUAUAAAUCAUAUAAUCUAUCUAGUAAACUAAUAAUAUUAAAUUAUUUUUUAUAUUUAAAAUAAUGUUAAAUUUUAAAUUAUUAUAUUUAUAAAAUUAUAAAGAUUUUAAAUAAAUAUUUGGAUUGAAUAUAUUUUACAAUUAAAAGUCUUCCUAUUAAUAAUAUUAAAAUUUAAUUUUACAAAAUAUAUAUUCAAAAUAUUUUUAAUUUUAAUUUAUUUAUUUUAAUAUUAUGUUUCUACCUAUUAUUAAAAAUUACUUUAAUAUAAUAAAAUAGGUCUAAUAGAUUGAAAAAUAUGAAAAUAUUUUUAAAAUUUUAAAUUAUUUUGAAAUGUAUAUAUUAUUACAUUUAUUUCAAUGUCAUAUUUUCAUUUAUUAUAAAAUUUUGGGGUUAUUUUUUUGGGAAUUUAUAGAGUCAAAGAGCAUUAUAAUUUAAUCCAUGCACAAUAUCUAUAAUUAUAUCGGUUGUCGGCUGAUUUCGUGGAGGGGGCGGCAGUUCAAAAUUUUUACGUGCAUGUUGGAUGGACGUCUCUAUUAAAGGAGAGCCACCACUUGCAUGGUAAUUUUUUUAAAUAAAUAUAUACAUUUCAAAACAUUAUUUUCUUGUUGUAUAGUUAACAUGUCACCUUAGAUGUAUUUUAGAGCUUCUCCUAUUAAAGAUAAUCUCAUGCAGUGUUACAGAGUAUGGUAAUAUGGUAUAGAUGAGAGCAUCUGAUUAAAUGAAGCAGCUGGUAAUGCUUACGUGUGUGAGUUAGUUAUCCAGCUCAGCAGCAAAGCAAACGAAAUGAAUUGCAUGCAUAUUAGAUCCAACAAACUGGUAAACUCUAGAUUCUUCUUUCAUUUAGUAUAAAUACCAAGUUGUUAUCAUUUGCUAAAUAUAUAAUAAGAUGAUCAUUUUCAGAUCUUUCCUUUAUAAUUUUCUAUAACUUUCUCGUUAGUUUCUCUUGAACCAAACACUUUGUACGAACUCUUUCGUGCAGUGAUACUUCUCGUGAUCUAAUCAUUAGUAGAAUCUAUAAUUUCGCUACUGUAAUAAAAUCUGUCACUACCCUAUAUGAAUGUAGAUAUUUGACGCGAUUUGUAAUUGCUUCCGACAGGAAAACAGCAAUAGUUUUAUUGAAAUUUGUGGUAUAGAUUCCACGAAUCUUAUGACAGAAUACUGACCACUCCAACCCUAUCCGCAUUUACACGAUUAAUACACAAGCUUAGAUGUGACAAUGCAUUUGUCACUCAUUCAAAUUCAUCCUGAAACACUAUACACUAAAUAAUCGAAUAUGGCUUCGUGGGUCGAUGAUGCUAGCAGCAACGAGACUGCAAUUAUCACUUGUUUUGUUGCUGUACUUGUCGUGGUCUAUUUCGCAUGGAAUGUAAACAAAUCAAGUAAAGCAAAUGCUAAAUUGCCACCAGGACCUCGGGGCUUGCCAGUAGUCCGAUACCUCCCAUUUCUUGGAACUACUGACUUACACAAGACAUUCACGGAGUUAUCUGGAGUUUAUGGUCCGAUCUUCAAGAUUUGGCUUGGGAAUAAAUUGUGUGUAGUGGUGACCUCGCCUACCCUAGUUAAACAAGUGGUCCGUGAUCAAGAUAUAACAUUCUCAAACCGCGACCCACCGAUCGCUGGAACUGUGACCACCUACGGUGGCAAUGAUAUUGCACUUUCCAAUUACGGUCCCGAAUGGAAAAAGUUGCGAAAAUUAUUUGUGAGCAAGAUGAUGAGUAAUGAGACCCUUGAUGCUUGUUAUGCUCUAAGAAAACAAGAGGUUAAAAAUACUAUCAGGGAUUUGUAUAACAACAAUAAGGAUAAUAUUGGCAAUGGCAAUGGCAAGCCCAUUGACGUUGGUGAAUUGUCGAUUUCAACUUUGGUACGUGUUAUGCAGAACAUGCUGUGGGGUCAAGCAUUGGAAACAAGAGAGAAAGAGAUUACUAAUCUCGGGGCUAAUCUUGCAGAACUCAUGGUGCUACUGGGAACACCAAAUAUUUCGGAUAUUUUUCCAGUGCUUUCAUGGCUUGACAUGCAAGGUAUAGAGAGAAGAGCUAAGAAGAUUUCUCUAUGGUUUGAAAAUAUUAUCAAUUCUGGUGUUGAACAGUAUAGAAACAAGUUCUCUGUUGUUAAAGGUGAAGAAGCUGCAGCACGAAAAAAUAUUGAACGAUCAAGAAAUAAGGACUUCUUGCAGUUGCUGUUGGAGCUUCAGGAAAAUGAAGAUAGUGCUUCAUCUAUUAGCAUGAACCAACUAAAGGCCGUGCUCGUGGUAUGUUAAGCAACUAGACACAAAAAGUUGUAAAAGCACAGCGAUAUAUUUGCGCGAGGCCCCGAGUGAUGUUUUGCCUCGAGAACUCUCAAUUUUAUCUUACGGUAAAAAAUGUUUUUCAACUUUUUUUUUUAAUUAGAAUUUUAUUGCAAUUUAUUUAACAGGACAUAAUUGUGGCCGGAACCGACACCACAACUACGAUGGUGGAAUGGACAAUGGCAGAGUUGAUGCAACAUCCACAAGUAAUGAAGAAAGUUCAAGAAGAAUUCGCUCAAGCUGUGGGCAUGGACAGUUGUGUUGAAGAAUAUCACUUGCCUAAAUUAAAGUAUUUAGAUGCUGUGGUGAAAGAAACAUUUCGUUUGCAUCCUGCGUUGCCCUUAUUGGUACCUCGCACGGCAAGCAAGAAUAGCAACAUUGGUGGCUAUACCAUUCCCAACGACACUAAUCUUAUGUUGAAUGUUUGGGCUAUCCACAGGGACCCUCAACUUUGGGAUAAUCCCUUAGAAUUUCGACCUGAGAGGUUCUUGAAUGAUGGUAUCAUAAGCAAUUUCAAUUACUCGGGUAACAAUUUUCAGUACUUGCCAUUUGGUUCUGGUAGAAGGAUGUGCGCUGGGAUUGCUCUAGCUGAGAGGAUGUUGAUGCUUGUUCUGGCUUCGUUGUUGCACUUGUUUGAGUGGAAAUUGCCCUCGGGCACAAAGCUAGACUUAUCUGAAAAGUAUGGGAUUGUCAUGCGGAAAAAAGAGCCUCUAAUUGCUAUUCCAACACCAAGGCUACCAAAUUCAGAUCUCUACCAGUAAGAUCAAAAUGGUUUUGAUAAUAUUAUUUCCCAUUGUAUUGGAUUUGAAGUUCAAUCAUAAUAAAAUAUUUUAAUAAAAUGUCCUCGGUUGCUAAUUUUUCAAUAGUAUAAUCUGCACCUGUCUUUUAUAGCAAUUUGGUCUAAUUUAUUUUUGAAUUAAAAUCCAUAAAUAUUUAUAUUUUUUUAAUUAUAUUAGGAAUUAUGUGGGGUGUAUGGUCUGAUCUUCGAGCUAUGCCUUGAAAACAAAUUAUGCAUAGUCGUGCACACGCUUUCCCUAAUUAAGUUUGUGGUUCGUGCUCAAGGCACAGCAUUCACCCCCCGCGACCCAACAAUCGCUACAUUGUUCCCCACCUAAAGUGCCAACAUAUUGCAUAAGUAACGCAAAAUAUGGUCCCCAAUGGAAAACGUUGCGCAAAUUAUUUCUGGGCAAGAUGAUAAGUAACGCAAGCCUUGAUGCUUGUUAUGGUCUAAGAAAACAAGAGGUUAAAAAUACUAUCAGAGACAUAUAUAAAACAACAACAGAAAAAAUUGGCAUUAUCAUCGAUAAUGGUGAGUUGUGGAUUUCAACUUUGGUAUGUUUAAUUCAGAACCCGCAGUGGGGUGGCGCUAGCACGCCUGCGUUAGGAGACGAGGGGACCAAUCUUGGGGCCGAGCUAAAAUAUAGGCUUGUAGAGCUCAUGCUGCUAAUGGUAAUGGGAACACCUACUAUUUCGGAUACUUUUCCGAUGCUGGUUUAAUUCAUGGUUUAGAAAGGAGAACAAAGAAGAUUUUUCGAUGCUUUGAAAAUAUUAUAAUUUUUAUAAAAUCUCUUAUUGAUAACUAAACAACUAAAAUUUCUGUAAAGUUUUUGUGGACUUUUGAUCUCCUAUGGUGCCAAUAUUUUCGACUAAUUUUUUCCUUCAAUUAAUGAUGUUGGUUGAGAAAGACUAUUUUUCUUGCAAUAAUAUAGUAUUCGUGGUCCUAUUAGGGUUCCGAAUGGAGAAAGUUGCACUAAGUUUUUUGAGUACCAAAUGAUGAGUAAUGUACGUAAGCCUUGAUGGUAGUUAUGGUCUAAGAAAACAAGAGGUUAAAAAUACUAUCUGGGAUUUGUACAACAAUAACAAAAUUGGCAAGCCCAUUGACAUUGGUGAAUUGUCAGUUUCAACCUUGGUAAGUGUUUUCAGAACAUGCUGUGGGGUGAAGCGCUUGGAAUAAGAAAGAAACGGAUGACGAAUAUUGGGGCUGAGCUUAGAUUUAAACUUGCAGAACUCAUGGUGCUGUCAGGAACACCGAAUAUUUCGGAUAUCUUUCCAGUGCUUUCAUGGUUUGAUAUACAAGGUUUUGAGAGAAUAGCAAAGAAGAUUUCUCUAUGGUUUUAAAAUAUUAUCAAUUCUACUGUUGAACGCUAUAGAAACAAGGUCUCAGUUGUUAAAAGUGAAGAAGAAGACGCAGCAGCAGCAGCAGCAGGGAACAACAUUGAAGGAAGGAAUAAGGACCUGGUGCAGUUACUCUUGGAGCUUCAAGGUAAAGAAGAAAAUGCUUCAUCAAUUAACAUGACGCAAUUUAAGAGCUUGCUCGUGGUAUGUUUGCGCAACUAGCCACAGACAGUUACAGAAACUGAGUUUGGCAGAUUACGACCGUUUCUGGUGAUUAUAUAACUAUUUGUGGCUGUUUUUUGUUUUUUUUUUCUUUUAAUUGGAAUUUUAUUGUAAAUUUCUUAACAGGAUAUAAUUUAGGGUGGAACCAACACCACAACUAUAAUGGUGGAAUGGACAAUGGCAUAAUUGAUACAGCAUCCACAAGUAAUGGAGAAUGUAAAGGUAGAACUAAGUCGGGCCGUGGCCAUUGACAGCCAUGUUGAAGAAUUUCACCUACCUAAGUUAAAAUAUUUAGAUGUUGUGGUGAAAGAAACAUUCCGCACGAUAAUAUAAUAUAUGAAUCAUAUAUCCUCUAUUGGUUUUUUGCUCCUUUUUUUUUCAAUAGCUUAAUCUAUCAUUAAAAUCUUCUGAAAUUCUAAAUUAAUAUACAUUCAACCUAGAGUUCAACCCAAAGUUUUAUUGAGCAUUAAAAAAAAAAAUUCUACGACUAAAAAUUUUACAGAGUAUAAAUUAAAAAUUAUGCGCCUACUAACAGACAAAAAACAAUUGAUACACAUUCACCAAUCAAAGGCAAACAAGAGAUUAUUAACAAUAACUUAAUAAUAAAAUUAUAAGGAAUCAAAUAGAAAUGGUACCUAGAAACACAUCACGCCAUUUAAUCAAUCACUUACCCAUAAAAUCCAAACUUAUAAACUAUUAAGGGGGGGAAAUGGAUACCUUUGGGUUUCAUUAAAUCAAAAUUACAACACCAUUAAAUACUCAAAAAUGAAAAAAAAAAAAUCAUACCCAAUAAAAGAGAAAAAAAUAACCCACAAAAAAAAUCAUCAAGAAAAUAAAUUUGAGACUAAGAGAAGAUAUUAAUUAACGCCUGGGUUGCAUUGGAACCACGGCUUUGGCUUCCAUUUUUCAAUUCUUGGUCACAAGUGAUUUCUUGUUUGUUUGCAAUGAUGACGGUUGAUUAAUGAAGCUCUAUUAACAAUGAAUGAAUCAAAAAACUUGAGCCUUGAAAAGACUAACGGUCAUAUUUUUCAACUCCGAAUUAGUGGCGUUUGAUGAGUCCUUGCCAAAACAAUCACUCGGCAGAUAACGAUCAUUUUUCAACCAGCAAAACUCAUUCAUUGUUUUUCACCUUAGUGAAGAUUUAAAAAUUGUUUCAAAAUAGGAUUCUUAAAAAAAUAAUAAUAAAAUGAUAUUUAACUUAAUUCUAACUUAGGAAAACAAAAUAUCUACACUCCCAAAGUUUGGAGAAAUGGUCAUUAAUAUCCCCAACUUUCCAAAAAGAGACACCAAGAACCCUUUUAACCAUAAUACUAUUUACUUCUAUUAUCCCAAAAAACAAUUGACUCUAAUAUUUUAUAAUAAAUAAAAAUAUAACAUUAAAAUAAAUGUAAUAGUAUAUACAUUUUAAAAUAGUUUCAAUAUUUAAAAAGCAUUUUAAUAUUUUUAAAUUCUAUUUUAUAUAUAUUGAUUAUUUUAAAGUAAAUUUUAUAAUAAAUAGAAUCAUAAUAUUAAAAUAAAUGCAUUAAAAUUUAAAUUAUUUUGAAUAUUAUGUAAAAUAAUAAUUUUAACAUUAUUAGUAUAUGAGAAUUUUUUUAAUUGUAGAAUGCAUUUAAUGCAAAUAUUUAUUUAAAAUCUCUACAAUAAAUAAAAAUAUACUAUUAAAACAAAACUCUACAAUACAUACAUACAUACAUAUACAUUGGCCUGGUAUUUUUAUUUUUCAUUUUUAAACUUAUUAAAUCCUCUAACUAUCAUUUGAUUUUUUUUUUUUUUCAAUGAUCAAGAGGUCAUUGCCGGAUAAAUGAUUAAAAUCAACUAGUUCUACAAGAAUAUCUCUUUUUAAAGGAAGAUGAUUCUCUCUCUCGAAAUUUUUUUAUCUCGUGCUACAAACUAAAAACUUAUGCCACUUCAUUAACCACAAAGAUCUUUGAGGAAAUGAUGCUUCCCUCCCCCCCCCCCCCCCCCCCCCUCCCACAAAAAAAAAAAAGAGUCCUUCCAUAUUGUGUGAAGGCUAAUAUAUCGAUGAAUCUAGAUUUCUUUAAAUUUUUUGUUUUACUCAAUUCGAGAUAAUAAUUCAAUCCAUGCAAAUAUCUAUCAUUGUAUGAGCUGACCAGUUAAUAGGUUGAUUGAAUAUAUGUGGUAAAGAUUCCACGUAUCUCAUGACAGAAUGCUGACCACUGGAACCCUAUCUACUUUUACGCGAUUAAUUCACGAGCUUAGGCACAACAAUUGCAAUACAAAUUAUCCCCUCAUCGUAUAUUUCGUUAAAAUUCAUUCUGAAGCAGUAAAACUAAACAAUCGAAUAUGGCUUUGCGGGUCGAUGAUGCCAGCAGCAAUGAGAGUGCAAUUAUCACUUGUUUAGUUUCUGUGCUUGCCGUGGCUUAUUUCGCAUGGAAUGUGAAAAAAUCAAGGAAAGCAAAUGCUAAACUGCCACCAGGAACUCGCGGCUUGCCUGUAGUCGGAUACCUCCCAUUUCUCGGGACUACUGACUUGCACAAGAAAUUCACGGAAUUUAUUUUACUAUUAUAUUUAUAUUCAAAAUAAUUUUAAUUAGCUUUUAAAAUGAAUGAUUUUAGGAAAUUAUAAAUAAAGGUAACUAAGAAUUCUCUUAAUGCAAUAUAUUAUUAAUUAGUUUAAAAAUACAAAUUUAUUAAUUAGAGAAAUUAUUAGUGAAUUUAAAUUAAUGAUCUUAAUGAUUUGUUUGUACGAUUGCCCCCAAUCAAAGGUAAUUUUCCUAAAAAUUAUUAGGAAAUUAGAGAAAUUUAAUUUUUUUUAGUGGGUUCAAUUGCCCACACACCCCGACUGAAGCAUUUUUUACAAUAUGUACUCCGUUUGUCGGCAGGAAAAUAAAGGUCUUGACACAUGAUCACUUCAUUCCUUUAUUUACUUUGCGAACGCAGAUUUUGAGGUAUUAAAACAAAUAAUAAUUGAAUAUGACUUUGUGGGUCGACGACGCCAGCAACGAGGAGACCGCCAAUUAUCACAUUUUAAGUUUGCUGUAAUUGCCAUUGUUUUAUAUUAGUAGAAUAUUAGUGAUAAGAUAAUUGUAGAGUUUUCAUUUUUUUAAUAUUAAAAUCAAGUCAAUUUAUUAUAAUAAAUUUAGUUGAAUUUAAUCGUAUUACCACAUAAAUUGAAUAAUAAUAGAAUUCUCCACAAAUAUUUCAAUAUUUUAAUCUCAAGCAUUGGAGUGGCAUUUAUUUGUUAUGCGGUCGAUUUUAGAAUUUUUAAAAUUAUUCGUUACUGAAUUGCACCAUAUGCUGCAUCACCUGGAACUUACUAAACGGAACGUAGCGUUGGCACCGUUACCAACAUUCACUGUUACGACUUUGUGACAUUAGAAUUAAAAUCUUUUCCACAUCUAAUUUGUUUACUUCCAAAUUAAUAUUUAACAAAAUAUUUUUUCACAUUAUCAAUGGACAAAACUCCAACGAAAAUAACUAUACAAGAAAAAUGUAUGCUAGAAUUGUAUGCCAUAUCAUCUGUAAUUUUGUCAGGAUCGAUCAUUCUAAUUUUGAAGCAGAACUUUUUAUCAAUGGACAAACACCUCACACAGCUUGUCAGAGGCAUUAUUAUGAUGUAAGAUUGUAAUGGUAUAUCUUGAAUUAUUGGUAGAAUAGUGAAUAACUAUUUGGAGCAAUAAAAACAAAUAAGACAGAUGAGAAAAUGGCUAAAAUUAUAUAAGUGACCCAAAUUGUUUUGCUAUUUCCAAGAAAUCCCCAAUCUGAAUGGACCAGCCAGAGGGAGGCAAGUUAGAAAUAUGUUUCCUUCAUAGACAAUAACAACGAUGAGUCGAUGACAUCAAGCCACGUCGGUAUCAAUAUUGAAAUAAAGGUGCAAUUAUUCAGCCAAUGAGCCUUACACAUCGAGAUAAAAGUCAAGAAAAUGAAAAUUUAUCCCAAUUAAAACACUUUCUGGCUGCAUUUAGCUGUUUCCAUUUGAAGUUAAAAACAACGUUUCUUUCGUUUUGUGGGCGACUCGACUGAGCUAGCUGGCUUCUAGUGCUGGUAAGUGAAAAUAGAAGGCUAAUGAUUUCACUUUCACAUUUUUCUUUUCCUUUUUUGGGAAUCAAAGUCAAGGUCAAGAAGAAUAAAUGGAGAAUUCGGAAAAAUGGGUGCAUAAUGUGAUCCAUUCAUGAAGAAGAGUACGUGAGCGUCGGGCAACAGUAUUUUUACCUAUUAAGCUCCAGUUUAAUUUUGUUGUAGGAAAACAAAAUUUUGUUUUCAAUUCACAUCGUGUGCAUCCAAUUCAACAAACACUUUGUAAUAAUUAAUGUUGAGUUGUAUCCUACGUUAAGGAGAGUUACUUAAAUUUAUAAAUAGGAUAAAUUACUCUAUUUAAUAAGUUAAUGUUUUCUUCUUUCUUCUAGAUUACAUAUAAAUUUAGUCAGAUAACCUAACACAUAUUUUAAUACUCGAUCAGAAGCCCUAAGCAGUGGUGGAUCCAAUAAAUUGAUUUAUAUGGUGUAAUAAUGUAAUAAAAAAAUGGUGAUUCAUAAAAUUGACCCAAUAUCAAAAUUUGUUUGCAAGAUUACUCCCCACUCAAAGGUAAUUUUCCUAAAAAUUAAUAGGAAAUUUAAUUGUCAUUGGGAUCAAAUUGCCCCCACACUCUUGAAUGUAGAUCCUCCCCUGGCCUUGAGUCAAGUAUUUUUUCCAAUAUAUACUCCGAAUGUCGGCAGGAACAACCUUCCACUUUAAUUUAAAAUUUUUACUUGAAAAAUUAAUUAAUGUUAAUAAAGUUCGUAAGAGAAAUGAGUUUAAUAAAAGAAAAUUAUAGGAGAAAUUCUAAUGUUUGUCUUUUAAUAAAUUAGUUUAUAAGUUUAAAAAGUUAACAUAUAUCAAAAUAUUAUUGAUUGGUGGUGGUUUCACGUCAGAUUAAGACGUGACACUUUACUUGUGAGACUGAGACAAUCAGCUUAGACUACUUCAAUAGGUUUGAAGCGUAGGCGGCACCCAUUCAAUUUGCACCAAUGUCUAUCAUUCUUUGUCCUAAUUACUACGAUAAUUAAUAACAUGCAAUUGAAAUUAUUAAUGUUAGUACUUGCCUAUAAAUAAAGGUAUUGUACUUGAAUCUUCAUAGAUGAUCACUUCAUUCCUUUAUUUACUUUGGUAACACAGAUUUUGAGAGACAUUAAAACUAAAGAAUAAUUGAAUAUGGCUUUGUGGGUUGAUGAUGCCAGCUCCAACGUGAGUGCAAUUAUCGCAUGUUUAAUUGCUCUAUUAGCCGUGGUCUAUUUCGUGUGGACAAGGAAAACAAAUGCUAAACUUCCACCAGGACCUCGCGGCUUGCCUGUAAUCGGAUACCUCCCUUUUCUCGGAACUACUGACUUGCACAAGACAUUCACGGAAUUAGCUGGUGUGUAUGGUCCAAUCUUCAAGCUCUGGCUUGGCAACAAAUUGUGUGUAGUGGUGAGCUCGCCUUCCCUAGUUAAACAAGUGGUUCGUGAUCAAGAUAUAACAUUCGCUAACCGCGACCCACCGAUCGCUGGACUCGUGGCCUCCUUUGGUGGCAAUGAUAUUUUAUUUUCCAAUUAUGGUCCUGAAUGGAGAAAGUUGCGCAAAUUAUUUGUGGGCAAGUUGAUGAGUAACGCAAGUCUUGACGCUUGUUAUGCUCUAAGAAAACAAGAGGUUAAAAAUAUAAUCAGGGAUUUGUAUAAUAACAACAAAACUGGCAAGCCCAUAGAUGUUGGUGAGUUGUCGAUCUCAACUUUUGUAUGUGUUAUACAGAACAUGCUAUGGGGUGAAGCUCUUGAAUUAAGAGAGAAAGGGAUCAGUAACCUUGGGGCUGAGCUAAAGUUUAAGCUAGCAGAACUCGUGGUGCUAAUGGGAACACCGAAUAUUUCGGAUAUCAUUCCGUGCUUUCAUGGCUUGAUAUACAAGGUAUAGAGAAGAGAACAAAGAAGAUUUCUCU